UUAGGGCCUGUUUGUUUACCCCCCAGAUUAUAUAAUCUGGAUUAAAUAAUCCUAAGAGUCAAACAAACAGUCUAGCUUAUUUGCCCAGAUUAUAUAAUCUAACCCAUUGGAUUAUGAUAAUCCAUAAGCAAGUGAGGAGGUGCUUAUUUCAGAUUAUUUUUUCUCACUUUCCCACUACCCUUUCAAGUUUCCUAGAAAUUACCCACCAUUGUCAUUAUAAUCUACCGAAUCGUUUUUGCGCCUAUCGGAUCGGAGAAGCCCGCCGCCCAGCAGAAACACGCCAGAUAAUCUGGGUAAACAAACAGGACUACUCAGAUUAUAUAAUCCAAAUUAUAUAAUCCAGAUUAUAUAAUCCUCAAAAAAUAAUCCAGAUUAUAUAAUCCAUUGGGGUAAACAAACAGGCCCUUAGAUAGGAGCAGUAUCUGUACCUACUCUUUUCUGUACUAAAAGAAAUGUCGUUCUCGCUUUCCAAAAAGUCAAGCACUUUUAAUUCUAACCAAAUAUAUAAAAAAAACUAUUAAAACUUGUAUUACAUAUAGUUAGAACCAUUAUAUCGAUCAUUGAAUCUAUUUCUUAUAAUAAAUUUAUUUUGAGAUACAAAUAUUGCUAUUUUUUUAUAAAUCUAGUUGAACUAAAAAAAUAUUUGAACAAUAAAAAUAUCAUAAUGUAAAUAAUAUAUACCAGGGUAUCCACAAGACGGACGUAUGUGGAUAGGCCCGUAGGCUCGGCCUAGAGUCCAUAAACUCAGUCGCCAUAGUUAUUAGAAGGUCUAAUAUAAAGAGAACUCCAGAAGUACAAAUAUGGCAAAGAUUUUAUUGGAAUAUGAGAGACAAGACAUAGUUCUAAACAGAUGGAACGUGACUCUAAUAGAUAAGGAAGACAUAUUUGUAAGUAUAGAGAGUUGUAUUCUCGUACGACUAGGUUAUCAAAUUAGAUGUAUCAUGUAAGCUACUCGUAUUCAAAAUACCAUAAAUGCUAAAACUAAGAUUGGAUGGUUAUGGCAUUGUCGACUAACCCAUGUUUAAUUGGAAAAAACUUCACUGACUUCUAAAAAGUUAAACAUGUAAUUGGACUAACCAAUGUUUCUUUUGAGAAAGAUAGACAUGUAGUGCUUGCGAGGCACGAAAAUAAGUUGGAGCAAGCCACCCCACCAAGAACAUCAUGACGACUUCAAGACCAAUUGAGCUACUUCACAUGGAUUUGUUUGGGCCUUUGGCCUACAUCAACAUAUCGGUAAUGUGAUUGAUAUAAAAUAUUCAUUUGGUGAUUGGAUCAUUGGUGCCUAGCUGUAUUCAAUGUAGUUUAUGGUGCGAUUCUAUAUGACUGGUUGCUCACUUUUGAAUCUUGUUUACAAUCUGUGCAUGGUAAUUAGUCGGUUUAGGGUUUAGAACUCCUGACAUUAUUUGUUUGAGACCAAUAGCAACUGGAGCUAGCGUAGAUGACAAUGCAUAGGAAUUAGGAAGUCACAUGUCUACAUAAUUGUUGGUUUGGUUGCUAUAGGGUUGCAAAUUUUAUUUUACUUUAUUUUAAAUGAAUUGUUCCGUAUAAUAUGCCAAUUUCCCCUUGUGCAUUCAGGCUUUGUGCGUUACGACGAUAUAUAAAUUAUUUCAUAAUGUGUUGCGACGGUACAUAAAAUCAUUUGAUCACAUUCAGUUUUCAAGAUGUCUUGGAUGAAGUUGACUGUUGUUUCUUACUUGCUUUCUACUUUCAACUUGACUACUGCUUUCUACUAUGGAGUGACCAAGACCAUGUAUGUCAAUUUGACUACUGCUAACUACUUUAUUUUCCCAAGUUGACUGCUGCUUUCAACUAAGGAGUGACCACGACCAUGUAUGUCUUUGAUCAUAUUCAGUUUUCAGCAUACUCUGACCAAUACCAUGUAUGAUUUCACGACUCCCAUGGUUUAGAAUUUAGAAUUUUUCUCACAUGGUGUAAAAUUAAUGCUUGAUGUAGAAUUAUGAAAAUAUUUUUUUUAAAUCAUAUAAGACACUUGCUUUUAUGAUAUUUCAAUGUAAACAAUUAUGUUGUUUUGAAAGACAUCUUUUGAUUAAAUGUGUAUAAUUGUGGAUGGUCCAUUUUUGUAUUCUGUAGCUGUCAAUACUCUGAUGUUUGGAGCAUGUUUGACCAUCAAUUAGUAAGGCUUUGUAUGAGAAAGCUUAAAGCCAAUAGCCCAAGACAAGAAGUUGUGCCUCUACAAAGGUGCAUAUCAUGCAAUCUUGGAAGGUGAACAAGAAGAGAGUAAGAGACAAUGUUCCAAGUCCUCCACGGUGUUGGGAUGGCUGUCUAAUGGUGUUGAUGAUGAUCGAAGUAUGAUGGGUAUUGUUGGUGUGUGUGUGAGUCUCUCUCUCUCUCUAUAUAUAUCUAUCUCUCUCUCUCUCUCUCUCUCUCUCUCUCUAUAUAUAUAUAUAUAUAUAUAUAUAUAUAUAUAUAUAUAUAUAUAUAUAUAUAUAUGGAAAAGUAACAUACUAGAGAGUACACAAGCAUAGCUUAUAUGCCCACCAAAAAAUCAUUAGUCUCGGAACGUGCUGCUCCGCUUUCUUUGCGAUGUGUAGCCAUUUUAUUUUUUGUAUUGGCUCAAACCACCAUGUAUUACAAUAAAGCUUUAAACAUGUUUUAACAACUAUUUCAAUUAAACAAGCUUUACUGUAUAUGAACCGUAACAACACACAUGCACAUACCUAGUAGACAAUAAGAUAGCUGUGGUGGUAUUAUAAACUCACGAUAGAUGACUUCGUCAGUCUUAAAAUAUGACAAUUUAGCCAUUCAGACUUUUAGAAUGAAAGGUCUCAUAUGUGUUACUUCAUCCAUUGCAAAUUAUUAAGCGUUGUGCCUUUUCGAGAUACAUUGAUUUUAUGAUGUAUCUAAAUAUAGUGUACAUUUAAGCCUAAAAAUGUCAUUGCUGCCGUCACGCAUAGUGUCAGUUCACUAGAACAGUUAUCCUGUAAGUGUCAGGGAAAUAAGAAUGUACAGAAUGACAAGGGUGAGAAAGAGACCAGUAGAUGAAAUGCGACCAAGCAUAUAACAGUUAACUGCCACACGUAGGAAGGAAAGGAAAGAAAAGAACGCUGUUGAAAUACUAUCAUGCUCGGGGCAUCGUGUCUGCAAAAAAAAAGUGUUAUUUUUCUUUUUUUGCAUUGCGAGGUAGUAUUGUAGUACUCAAUACUACUCCCUCUGUUUCAAAAUAAAAUUUGUUUUAGCAAAUUAGUGGAUUAUAGGGUGUUUAAAUACACUAAAAUUAAUAAUUAGUUGGCUAAAAAUUAAUAUUAGAAUUAGCUAUCUAAAAAUAGCUAACCUAACUAUUAACUAAUUUACCAAAAAUAGAUAAUAGUUGAACUAUUAGUUAGAGUGUUUGAAUGUCUCAACUAAUUUUAGCCACUAGAUAUUAGUUUUAGUGCAUUCAAAUACCUCCUUAAUACAAUACUUGAUGUAUAUGUUUUUGUAUAUCUAUCUAAAUUUAUUAUCAUCUAUUUAAAUAUAGACAGGAAAUUAAUAGCUAAAACGACUACUAUUUUAAAACUGAUUGAGUACCAUUUAUUAUUCCAGAAAUACAGAGCAACGUUGUGUGUCAAACCAGCAAUGGGCAGUUGAAAAGAGGAAGAAAAGAAUACAGAAAGCGACUAGUGGGACGAAGAUGGCCACGCACAGACAAACGAAACAAGAAGCAUGCUACAGUGGAAUAGCGAGCUCCGAGCUGGAUAUUUCCAUCGCUUGUGUUGGCUUGGCCGAGCGAGGAAUAGCUUACUGACUGGUGGGCCAAGGCAGAAGCAGCAGCAUGGAUUCGUGUGCAUCCGCUGCGAGUUCUGUACAUUCCUGAAACUGAUGAGAGGAUCUCAGCAGUGUACUUUUCCAUGUCUGGAAUACAGAUCUAUAGAGUUAACUAAUCAGACGUCAAAGGAGAACGUGCAUCUGGGUUCUCUUUCUCGCAUGCCAAUUCACCAUCAUCAUCAGUCACUGCUUAGUUAUUUGCUGCAAAUGGCUGCAGGGCAUGGAAGUGCACCCACACACAGGGCACCUGCUGUGACCCUGGCCAUUUUCCCUACUGCAGCUAAAGCUACGAGGAAGGAGACCAUUGCUAAAAGGACGACCAUUCAGUUCCAGCUGGAUCCGUUGAGGUCGAUCCUUUGGCUUUGGCUGCCGCGAGGCCUUGGAUUGCUCCUGCCGCCGCUGAUGCUGAGGUCAAGCUCCUGCUGCUCAUCCGAGGACCCUCCUCCUCCUGCUCCUCUUCUGCUGGGCUCGUCAAGAAACUGCAGGAACUCCUCGCAGCUGGCGCUGCCGCCGCCUCCUCUGUCGUUGUAGCCUCUGCUGGGAGUGGGAGUGGGAGGCGGAGCGGACGAGAGGCCGAUGGACAGCAGGUCCUGGUCCCUCUCCCUCUGGCACCGAGACCCCUCGCACGCGGUCAGGCAGCUGUCCACCGACCCGUCGCCUCCGAGGUGGUGCUGCUGGUGGAGGUGCUCCUGCUGGACAUUGCCGCGCCUCGUCGCCGUGGCUCUCGAGAUGAGAUCCGGCAGCAGCAACUGCUGCUGCUGCUGCGUCGUCGUCGUCGUCUCGUCAGCGCCGCCGCUCUGCUUGGCCAGCGCCUCCUGCGCCUUCUCCAGCACGGACUGCAAGUACUUGCCCUGCGCUUCGAUCCGCAGCUGCAGGUGUCUCUGAACCUGCACCAUCAAUGGGAAAAAUGAAAAAAAUAUAUAUAAAUAUGCUGAAAGCAGAGGAAAUGGGCCAAAGCCCAGCCAAGCCGUGCAGGUGCAGCACAAGGAAAAGUGUGCUCCGAAUUAGUCGCGGGCGAAUCCAGUUUAUGGGCCGAAAUGACGGUGCGUGCGUGCGCCGGCCUCUGGAAUGGAAGGCCCAAUAAUACCCCAGAUCCAACGGCGUCACGAACUCACGAUGACCGGAAUGGUAGGCCAGGGCAGAUGGUUCCAACUCCGGCCGCGGUCGCCGCCUCUCGCGCCCCGGUGCCAGGACUCGGGAUCCGACCAUAGGGCUUGGCAUGCCCCUUUACUUUCUUUUUUAACACUUGUAUUUAUUUUUUUCUUCGACAGGGUGUUCUCACUUUUUUUAAUUGGUUCGUUCCCCCCUGCAGUUUUAAUUUGCACUGUCGGAAACAGUUCCCUGCCGAUGAACUCGCUACUAGUGUUUUUGAUGCUAUAUACAGGUAGUGGUGCUUCUGCAUUAUAUAUGUCUAUAUCACGGGGACGCUGAGCUAUGCAAUAGAUAUAUAUCUUAAUAAAACUAGAGAGCUGCUGCUUGUAUUUGUAUAUACCUCUAGCUGCUCAUGCAGCCGUCUCUGGACUUCGAUCUGCAUCUGGAGGGCUUCACUUAUGUGCAUUGACCUGCCAGAUUACCGAACCGUGUCACACCUUCUGAAGGUUGGAGAAGAAUGCAUCCAGCUGUUAACAAAUUUAGCUGGCUUCUUCGCUCCUCACCUGUUUAUCUGCGGCGGUUCUAGGUUCAGGUGCGGCGGCGGCGGUGGUGGCGGCGGUGAAGCACUCCCUUGGCAUAGGGCGUUGUCUGCUCCCGUCCGGCAGCCUACCAACGCUGCGAAACAGAGGCAAGCAGGCUUAGCACAUCUCUCGCACUGGACUGGACGGCUGGGGUUUCAGUUACUUGAGCUACACUGUAUUAAGAAGCAUUUAUAUAUGCAGCCUACCAUUCUUUGCGCUGGCAGUAUGAGCUUGGGCCUGGAGGUUCUUGCUGAGUCUGUAUUUCUAUGAGACAAACAGAAAAAGAAAAAAAAACACAUCUAUCUUAGUUUGUGACGACGGGAAGCCAAAAUUUGUUUUCCAUGCCAUACCAUUCCAUACUCUGACAGCAACAGCAGUAUCUGAUCGAGAUGUACGCACGUACGUACCUGGAGAUGGCUCUUGAGAUGGUACAGGGUGAGUCCAGGGAUCCCCAUGAGCCUCAUGAUGGUUUUCGGCGUGGCCUCUGCGAGAGUUUGGACAUGCAUGCACGCGGGCUUAAUUUAGAAGAAGAGGUAAUCUACCAUCACAAAGGCUCUGUGCCAUGUUUGUGCCGUGUGUAUACGAGCUAGCGUUUUGGUACUCACUGUCUGGGCCUCCGAGCUGAUGCACCGCCUCAACAAAACGCUCGUGCAGCUCGGGUGUCCAUUUCAGGCGAGGCUUAGCAUCGGUGGAGAGGACGAGCCCUGCAUCUCCGCCGCCGCCGCCGCCGCCUGCUCCGUGCAGGAGGAACUGCUUCUCAGGAGGUAAGCCUGGCCUUGACGAGGACAGGUGCUGGUUAUGGGUGUGGAGCUGUUGCUGAUGAUACAUCUGCUGCUGUCAGCCUGCAGAACUCCAGGUCAGUACGUUUCUUGCUCUGCUCCACCAGUCAUCAUCAGGUAAAGAGAGAGAGAGAGAGAGAGAGAGAGAGAGAGAGAGUGGAGCGAAGCACAUGAGAUCCUCACCUGUACGUUAGUUGUUCAGCUCCUGUUAUGUACUGAAAUGUCUGGUUGCGGGCAUUCCUGACUGGUGGGAUAUAUAUCCUUGGCAGCUUUUACCGGUGUAGCUCAGUCAGUGGCAGUGCGUCCUCUAUUUGUAGAAACCAAAGAGGUGUUUGUUUGUGUGGUGUGGUCUUCUCUCUUCUGGGAGUGAGUGAGUGAGUGAGACAGACAGCCUUUAAUUUAAUUUGGCUUCUGAAAACUAAACUACCGACCUCCUGUCUCCUCUUGCCGAGAUGUUAUGUUACGCAGCAGACUCCCCCGGCCGUCUGUCUGUCUUAUAAGGCAAGAGGACCGGCUGGAUCGGAGAAUGUGGAAUCAUCUGAAGAAGCACUCAACCCCCCUGAUCGACUGCCCAAUCUCUGCAGCAACUGAAAAAGAGAUAUUAUCCUUAUUCCCCCCCGGCCCACCACACCCUGCAGUCCUUUUUUCUUUCUCAACUCCAGCAACAACCCGGCCCUCUCUCUCUCUCCCCCUCUCGCUCUUGCCUUGUGUGUUCUCAUCAUGAACAGCUUUUGGUUGAAAUUACUUGCCACAUGAGAACGACGAAGGGCGAAAGCGAAGCACAACAAUCUUUUUCAUUCUCCUCUUUGGUUUUCCUUUUUCUUUUGGAGGAGGAGGAGGAGAAAAAGAAAGAAAGAAAGAAACCCUAGAGAUUAUUCUGCGUGGUCUGCAAUAUAAUCUGACGAUGUCGCUGUAGAAACUUGGCAGCAGCCCCCCUCUCUAGCUCAGAUUCCUCGAUGAUAUCGAUAUCUUAUUAUUAGUUCGAGAACCAGUUCCAGUCUCCACUGAGUUUCUGGCCUCCAGUUUUGCCGAAACGAAAGGGGCGGUCGAUCCAUCGACCAGCUAGCUAGCUAGCUAGCAGAGCUGCUCGUCGUUGUUGUUAGGAUCCAUGGUCCGUGAUCGCAUGUAGUAGCUUACGUACUGUUGGUUGCUAGCUGUUGGGCUGUAUGUAUGCACCAGUUGAGAAGCAGUACGGGAUGGCCAUACGAUGGAUGUCGGUUACGUACGUGGACGGCCAAAGCUUGAAACUUCCCUUCUUUUUGACUGCAGCUAGGCAUCAUCCAUCCGGAAGAAGAAUUGCGAGAAAAGCUUGGCAUACACACACACAGAUAAAGCGCGCGGCCGGGAGCUGUGGCCAUUGUAUAAGAUCGAACGCCUUCUUGGGAGACGGACGGACGGCACAAAGGCAAGGGAAUGGAAUAACAGGGGGGGGAUAAGGCAUAGGAUUCUCGCCUGUUGGUGUGGUGUCUCCUUUGGUAAGUUUGGCACCACCAGCUUAGCUUAGCUGAGCUAAGCUGAGCUAAGCUCAGCUACUGGGGGCAGCCAACUGCCAAAGCCCAAAGGGUUCAUGGUAAGGCAAUUAAUAGGCUGUAUCCGUGUGUGCACUUUGAAGCCGGUGCCGUAACUUCACCUGCUGUGCGUACAUGACAUGCAUGCAUGGGGGGCAGCAAAGCAUAUAUACAAAACAAAAGCGGGCUUAAAAUGCAUGGAGCAGCCCCUGGUUUCUUGGAUUGCGCCCUCGCUGUAUCCUCCUCCUCCUUUUGCUUUUUAUGCUCUUGCACUUGUUCUGACCGUGAUUUAUCUGUCCUCCGUCUCCAUGCAGCAGACGAUGAUGAUGAUGCUUAAUUACAUCGAGCAUGCAACUGCAUGUAGCCGGCCUUUUGGACGCCUUUGCCUUCCAGAUGGCCGUGUGUGUCCCACAUAGCAGUAUCUCUAGUUAUGAUGCAUACGUCGUGAGCACGCAUGAUUGCAUCAGCUAGCGAAGCUUCUAGUCUCCGUGGCCGCGCCAGGGCAUGCAUGCAUGUGAACGAAGAACAGCAUCUCAUGUUUCUCGCAGCAGAGUGGUCGGUUUAUAUCUUGAUUGGUUGUUCAGCCAGAGGUGAAGCAAGCUACGGAGGCGACACGUGCACUGCGCCAAGAACGACGACGACCCACACCGCCAGGAGUGACUAGUGACCAUUGCGUUCAAUUCGAUGUGCUCUCUUGGAAUAAGUUGGCGAGCGAAUCAUCAUCCUUGCGACUAAAUAACCAAGCGAGAUAUACACACACUAAGAUAAGCAACGAGGGCUUUAUUUGUUCGGUUGCACAUAUAUAUAUGGUAUCUAUACCAUGCAUGUGCAGUGCCUCAUUGUUGAGGAAUUGGAAUUGGAUUGGAUUGGAGCGAGGUCGAUCGAGGAAUGUGUGCGCUGCUGUGCAUAUAUUCUGUCCUGUUCCGUCUCCAAAUAGCUGCUCAGUACAUGAUUCUCUGACCAUUGGCUCCCGCGAGUUUCUCACCAAAGAUGACCGCCUAGCUGCUCCAUGAACAUAAGAAGAAAUCGAUCCAGACCACGCAGUUUAGUAGUGUAGUAUAUAUUCCCCCGGCCGGGCAUUAGCUCAGUUUGAUUGAUGCCGCCGUAGAGCUUGCAAUGGGAUUAAUACAAGCUCAUCGAUCCCUUUUUCUUUGUUCCGUUCUUAUAUUAUAUCGUGUAUAUAUAUAUAUUUGGCGAAAGAUUGUGUUCGGUUGUUACUUGUUUAAGUGUCUGGGUAUCUUAUGCUUUUGUUUCUCUCGAUCCCUUUCUUCUCCAUGCCUUUGCAAAUCGCAGCAAGCUCUUUGGUGUGGUGGCGGGUUUCAUCUUGAUGCGCGGGCAGGCUCGUGACAGGGAAUAUUGUGGGAAAGAGGCUGGGAAUUGUAUUGACAAAGCUGGAGGGGAAUCACGUCCAAGCAAUGACCUUUACACGACCUCUUUUUUUUUCUUCUACAUUUCAUGCAGCCAUGGAACCUGAAGAGAGAGCCAUGAAAGCCUUAGCAAGUUGGUCGCCCUGGAGAGAAACCAGUAGGGAAUCCAAGACCAACCGUCGAUGCUGCUGUUGACACCUGCUGUGUCUUGUAAAAGAAGAGAAAACAAUAAGGCUCCCAAAUGGUAGCCCCCCUCCAUCAUCAAUAGAUGGAGCGAAGCGAGGGCUCAUCCAGUCCAGGGUAUACUGCGGUCAUGUUUAUGCUACAGCUCCUGUGCCGAAACAACGCUUAAGAGUGGAACAUAAAAGUAACUCGCCUCAUGUGUAUGCUAUAGCUAAUGCGUAAACCUGUCUGGGGAUUUGCCUGGAGCCUACUUUCUCAUCUGCGUCAAGAAAUCAGCUGCCGGUCUUCCAGCCCCACUUGCUCCAAAUGCCGAGAACCCAGCUCCUUGAUUACCACCAAAGGAUCCGAAUCCACCACCACCUUCAAACCAAGCAAAUUGUCUUAUGUUAGUUGCCAAAACCAGGUGCUAGCGCCAGACAAAACAGAUAAAUUUUUCACUGUAAAUUUUAUUCUUUCGGUAGCCCAAACUGCUUAUAAAUUGGUAAACACAUAAGAUACUAAUGCCAAUUAUUUCUGGCAUCAAACAACGGUAAGACAUUAAUUCAGCUCCAAAGCACCAAAGAUCGUACUCCGUCGGAGAUGGCAAAGGCGAUAAAUCUAGAAAAGCCAAAAACGACUUGUAAUUUGGAACAGGCAGAGGGUAUCUGACAUGACAACAAGUACUUGCAGACAACAAACAUAAUAUCUGACUAUUUGAGUAGCAUGUCUCAGCGGAUGGUAAUGCAUAUUGAUAAAAAAUUAGUACACUUAACAUUUAAGACUACAAACUGAUUGAAACGGGUUUAGGGAUUACUGCUUGAAAAAAAAAAUGUCUGAGAUUUAAAAUCAAUAUACAGUAUUCUUAAAGGUGAAGGUCAAAUACUUUUAUAUGGACUUCUUCAGGACAGCCGAAAUGAGUAACCCUGUUAGGAACUGGUCAGUGAUAACUGAUGACAAGGGAGAGCAUAAAAAUUCUUUGUAAGCCUAAUGGAGCCUAUGCAUUAUAUUCUAGCAUCUUCUUUGUAGAAAAAAUGAGUGAUGCAACCUAGCAGUUCCAACUCCAAAUACCAAUAGUGUCGGUGUUUUGACCUGGGAUCCUACCGACUAGUAAACUAGUGUUGUGUGCCCAGGCCCAGAUUGGUGAUGCAAGGAGACAAGUCUUUAUCCUGGUUCGGGCAAGAGAAUGUCCUACUUCCAGCAGAGAGGGGAUGAGACUUAUAUUACCUGCACCUAAAUGCUUGCAGUAGGGAAUACAAGCUGGUCGGGAGAGGGAAAGGAUCUCAAGUCCCUAGGAUUGAUUGAGGUGAGUGCCAAUAUCCGUGUGGAGGUGAAAACCGUGAAGUGUUCUCCUUCUCGCCUAAAGCCAUGGGCUCCUUUAUUUAUAGCCUUAAGGAGGGCCACCAGGAACGCCAGGGUUUGCCGUAUAUGGGAGAAGAGGCGUGUCCGAGCCCCUAUAGCCGGUAUGGCCUUUGUACUUGUAUUUGACUUGAGCCGGGAAGGGGAUGUCCGGUUCCUGUAUUUGCAUCUUUGACAGUGUAGAGAGCCGAGGCCAGUGUCGGGGGCUCGGUCACGUACCCGAGCCUGUUCGAUGGAGGAGCUGUCCGAGUCGAAGUGGUUGGAGCAGUGGUAAGUAUGGCAAAAAGCUCUUGGCAAUACGUAGAGUAUCCGACGUCAGCUCUACGGCUUCUAGUGACGUCGGUCGUCCUGUUGUCGAUAUUAUCAAGGUUGAAGCCACGCUCGGCGAGGCGGAAGUCUUCCCGAGGCCAUGGCCAAGCCGGUUCUAGGGCUCGUAGUCGUGCAGGGAACAAUAGAAGGGGUGGCCUUCUGCGGGAUUCGCAAGGGGCAGUUGGCCGACGCCGAGCUCGGGCGAGGCGGAGUUUGUUCCGAGGCUGAGCCGGCUUCGGGUGAGGCGUAGUUUCUCCCGAGGGUCAGACCAUGCUUUGUCGUAUGCGCGUCCCAUCCAGAGUUAUUGAACUCUGCAGACAACGUGGAGGAGCAAUAGUCGUUAUUCCUAGGCAUGUGUCAUCGUAGUUGGUGAAAGUUGAUGGGACCCGGUCCUGUCGCUCCUGUUUGACUGCGGUGUCACGUGGGGUAGGUGUUUGCAUUGAAUGCUUAUGUCUCCAUGGUUCCCAUGACCUUUGACUGAGGUCAGGCUCGGGGUUGUCCUCCUGCCUGAGACAGGCUCGGGCGAGGCAGAAACAACUGAUCCGUGGAGAGGGGACCUCGGGCGGGACGAGGAUUUCCCCGAGUGCUGCCCUCGCCCGAGGGCAGGCUCGGGCGAGGCGGAGUUUUGGGCGACCACCGAGUUGGGUCUCGGGUGAAUCGUGGCUAUACCUUCUUGACCUCGGGGAACGUGUCUAGGGGUGUAAUCCAAGUACCCCUAAUUACGAUACCCGACAAAUAGUUAUCCGAACAAUAGAAUCAAUCUAGGUGUAUUUAACUGCCAGCAACUAGCAAAUAUUUAAACUGACGACAUGACACCACAGGUUGGAAUGUUGGAUGAUUGAUUAAACACAUGCAAACCAUAAGCGAUCUGCGCUGCCACACAUUAGCAUUUACCCAAAACUACCCUCCAAAAGUAAGUCUUUGUCCAAAACAGAACACGACUUCAGAGAUGGCAAAUGUGAUGAACCUAGAAAAGCCAAAAAAAUGACUUACAAUUUGGAACAUAUGGAGUAUCUAACAUGACAAGUACUUGCAGGCAGCAAACUAAUACUCACUCCAUCCGAAAUUAAAAUUCGGCUCCAAAGCACCAAAGAUUGUACUCCGCCGAUUGCAAAUUAUAAGUCAUUUUGGAUUUUCUAGGCACAUUGCUUUUGCUUUACACCGAGAUGGCAAAGGCGAUGAAUCUAGAAAAGCCAAAAAACGACUUAUAAUUUGGAACAUAUGGAGUAUCUGACAUGAUAACAGGUACUUGCAGGCAACAAACCUAAUAUCUGACUAUUUGAGUUAGAGCAUGUCUCAGCGAAUGGAAAUGCAGAUCAAUGAUUUCAAGUCGUCCAACUAAUCGCGAUUAGUCGGGCUAGUCGGUUGUGGUGAUGCGGCCAGGGAGUCAGACCCGAUCAGGUCGACUAAUCGUCCGGUCAUUCGAUUAGUCGUCGACUAAACGCGAUUAGUCGUCCAGUUUGGGUGGGGACAAUUAGUUGGUUUUGGCCUGUUUUGGAUGUGGGCUGGACGGCUGGUGAUGAGGCCCAUUAGUGUAAUGCCUUAGGGUUUUAGCUAAAUAAGGCCCACUAGUGCUGCUGCUUUUCAAUUGGAAGGGGAUCUGCUACUUUAGGUCAAUAGUAAGUCUGUAAUUGCCUACUUGGCAUUUAUAUAGUAACUAGUAAGUCUGCAACUCUGCAUCAUAUGAAGUAGUGAGUAGUGACUAAUGUUCAGUUCAUGUCCUGAAAUCUGAAUUCUGAAUUCUGAAAUGUGAGUCUGGCCGUUCCAGUAUUCAUAUUUGCUAUGUUUGGUAAUUGGUAUUGCCUCCUAUAUGCUAUAUUGCUAUAUAUAAUUGAGUUAGUGACUGAUGUCCAUGUUCUGAAAUCUGAAUUGUCCAUUCUCCAGUUCUAGUAUUCAUAUUUGUUAUGUUUGGUAUUGCCUCCUAUAUGCUAUAUUGCUAUAUGUAUCAAUAUUAUAUAUAUUAUAUAGGUCUUGUUCGUGUAAAUAUGCAGAAGGGCUGUAGGGACGACCAGGUCGACUAGGACCUGAUUAGUCGACCUAAUCGUCGUCCUAAUCACGAUUAGUCGUCUGGUCGCCCAGGUGUAUCGACUAGCUAGUCGGGCAACUUGAAAUCAUUGAUGCAGAUUGAUAAAUAAUUAGUACACUUAACAUUUAAACUACAGACUGAUUGAAACGGGUUUAUGAGUUACUGCUUGAAAAAAAAAUGAUUGUGAGGCUUAAAAUCAAUAUAUAGUAUUCCUAAAGCUAAAGAUCAAAUACUUUAUAUAGACUUCUUCAAGACAGCCGAAAUGAGUAAGCCUGUUAGGAACUGAUCAGUGAUCAGUGAUACCAGCUGACAAGGUAGAGCAUAAAAAUCCUUUGUAAGCCUAAUGGAGCCUAUGCAAUAUACGCAAUCUUGUUUCUAGAAGAAAUGAGUAAUGCAACCUAGCAGUUCCAACUCCAAAUACCAAUAGUUAACCGAACAAUAGAAUCAAUCUAGGUGUAUUUAACCGCUAGCAUUAGCAACCAGCAAAACUUUAAACUGAUGACACCACAGGUCAGAAUGUUGGAUGAUUGAUUAAACACGUUUGCAAACCAUAAGCGAUCACACAUAAGCAUUUAUCCAAAAGUAAGUAUUUGUUCAAAACAGAACACGACUUCAGAGAUCUCACCACUGCCAAAGCCACCUCCCUGGGAGGCACCUCCAAAACCACCACCAGAUGAAGCUGCACCAACAAAACCACCACUUUUGGAAGCAAGAGCAGCAAAACCUCCACCAGUAGCAGCAGCAGCAAAACCACCACCUGCAGAAGCAGUUGGUGCUGAAAAGCCCCCACCUGAUGCAGCACCAGCAAAUCCAGCAUUACCUGAAGAUAAAGAACUAAAACCAGCAGAUGUAGAAGCACUUGAAAAUCCACCAAAUCCUCCAGAACCUAUGCCUCCUAACUGGGGAGGUUGUCCAAAAGAACCCAGCACUGAUCCAAGUGUCUGUUGAGCAGCAAACUGUGCAGGCUGCCCAAAUCCUGACUGGACAGCCCCAAUUUGUGCAGGCUUCCCAAAUCCUGACUGUUGCCCAGUUCCGAUUUGUGCUGACUGGCCAAAACCAGAUUGAAUUUGGGCAGGCUGGCCAAAACCAGAUUGAAUUUGGGCAGUCUGCCCAAAUCCUGCAUGCUGGCCAGCUCCAAUCUGUGCAGGCUUCCCAAAAGCUGACUGCUGGCCAGAUCCAAUUUGUGCAGGCUGUCCAAAUCCAGUAAGCCCACUUGAGAACGAAUUAGAAAAAGAACUAGAACUAGUUGAUUGAGAUGGUUGGGCUGGCUGAGCUGAAGGAAUGCUUAGCGACGCUGGCCGGAAAAGCUGUCCUGGACUGGUUGUCAAAGUAAAUGGUGUGCCUGAACUUUUAUUGCCAGAUGUACCAAAGGAGGCACCAAAAGGAUUAGACUUUUGAGGACUUGAAGAAGGCUGGGACCCAAGGCCGAAUCCACCAAGGGCUCCCAAGUUCAGUUCGGCACUUGCAGAAGGUGCCUCCUCUUCCAUGUCAUCUUCAUCGGUUGAGAUGGUGUCAGUGUUUGGUCCUACAUUUUUUCCUGUGGAAGUGAAAACUGAUUCCGAUGUUGUUGGUGCUGUUUGAGGAGCAGAGACAUGAGUAGAAGGCAAGCUGGCGCCAGUUGUUGGAGGCACUGAAGGUUUGCUUUCAGUGACUGAUAUGACAGAAGUCGAACUUGCAGAAACUAUGGUACUAGUUACCUUUGAUAUUAGCGUUUCAGGUUUGGAAGCAUUUUGACUCAAUCCAGUUGAUGAAUCCUUAGCAGGAGUAGGGACUGAGCUAGACACAGUACCCCCAGGUACUAUUGGAGAAACUUUCUGCAUUGAGCUAGAUAAAACAUCUGAAGUUUUCGCACCUGAUGUGGCUGAAGAAGAAACAGUCGGCCUUAAGGAGUAUGAAUUGGUCUGAGUAACAGGAGCUGGCAAGAAAGCAGAAGGUUGAGGUGCCAUUUUGGAGGUAUCUUUCACAGUGUUCUGCACAGCAUCGCCAACCCCACUUAGCUGGUCAGUCUUCUCAUGUAAUGCAGCAGGCUUGGAAUGUUCAGAAUUAAAAGACGAUUUGUCGAGAUCUCUAAAUAUGCCACCCUUGUUCUGCAGAGAAGCACCCGGUCCUUUUAUGUUCCCCAAAGAUGGCAUUGACUGACCAUCCUGUCUGUUCUUCAUAGUUAAUGUAGGCAAAUCUCCAGACUCCCCAGCAGUUUUUACAGACAGUGGACUUAGAGAAGUUUUUGGAGCUGUUAUAGAAGGUAAUAUAUUUGGCUCUGUGUUGGCAUUACUUUUAGGGCUUAUAGUGGUUUUGAAGGUUAGAGUAUUUGGCUUAGACACAGUAUGUUUUGUUCCAAAGGAUGGAACACUGGAUGGGUUGAUACUAUCUUGUGCACCCAUACGUGUGUAACUGAAUGAUGGUGGUGAAGAUGGUGUCAGUUUUGAAGACUGUGCAGUACUUUUCAUUUGCCCUGGUAACUCGAAAUGCUUUUGCUCUGAGGUUUGAGAUGACCCAGUUGAUUCCUUUACCCAUUUGAACAAAGGGUUCUGUUGGGGUCCUGACAGUUUAUCGUUUACAUCUGAAAUUGCAGGAAAUCAUAUGUAAGAAUUACAAAGACUGAUGAUAUAAUAAGAAUCUUCGUGAUCUUAAUAGAAACCCCAGAAAAUUGAUGUCUAAGGCUUGUAGAAACUUACCUUCACUCAGAGAACGCAGUCUGCUUACAUAUGAUUCUACUAUAGAUGAAUUGGAGCUAUCGCUUGACUUUUCCUGUGAUAUUGCUGCCAUUUGAGAAUCAAAUAUUUUCUUGUUUGACCUGAAUGGUAGAUCACUGCUGAUCUUGAGGCGUUGUUGCUGUGUUAUUCUUUUAACAGUUGUUUUCUGAGGUUCCAAACUAGCCAGGCUCUAAAAAUUUGACAAAUUAUUUGCAGUCAGAUUUAUUGCUUAUCCACCACAUGAAGAACAAUAUGUAAUAGAAACAAAGACCCACAUCUUCUUUCCAUGUAAUGUGCAUGUUACAUGACAAAAUGCGAUGUUUUCGGUCUACCGGUAUAGGCUUAAUAACUUACCAUAUCCAGUGAUUCCCUCCUCCUUCGAGCAGUCUCAGGCUCACCACCCUUGGAAGACCCUAAUAUUCCCUUUGAAUGCUCAUUCACUGAUGGAAACCGCUUAACUGGCUUAGGAGUGCUGCCUGAAAAUUUGGUUGCAUCAGUUGUGUGGGCUAAACCAAUUGACUCAAACAACUUUUUGGUCACCAUCCCCUGCUUCCUACUAGGAGAACCAAUAUUUAACACAGAUAUCUGCUUUGAAAGGCAUUCAGAUAGCUGCUCAGCAGCUGCCAACUGCGAGUUCAGUGCACUAUAUACACUGGAUAAUUGUGUCUGACUGAAAAUAAGAAGUGAGAAAUAGUUUAAAAUCAUUGUAUUAAAUAAAUAUCCACAAAAGAAAAGGUGAAACAAAACACACGUACUAUUGAUCACUGAUAAAUAGAACUACAUACACAAGAAACUUAGUUAUUAUCAAGAAAGAGCAUCUAAAAAAUAGCAAAUCAUACUAUAUAAUUAUAUAGACUAAUCAAUAUGAAUGAUGCUAACCAUACAAUGUGCAGAGAAUUUGAGUUUGUUACAAACAAAAAAUACAGAACAAGAGAGUAUUUUCAUCAAAAUAUACUGGUGGGAACAAACAUAAAAGUAAAAUGUUACAUGCAUUUAUGCGCUACAUAGUCGCUUUGAAAGGAGCAGAGCAUAAAACGGCCACUUAUUCAGUUGUUUGUCAACAAAUUGAUGAUAAUCACUAAAUCUGUAUAAAAUUUGUAGCAAGAAGGUCUAACAGUUAAAUACCUCGAACUUGUCUUGUUAGAAUAAACAGCUCUUCGAUUAGAAGCCACUCUUCCUGUUUCACUGGAUCUGUUCAUCUCCAGAUUAUUGAAGUGCCUCUCCAGCUCAACCAGCUGAUUUGUCAAAUCCUGUAUUACAAAGGACAUAUUAUUCUCCUCUAAAGUCAUACAAACAAAUGAAGUUAGUCAGAAUGUUAGAUACUGAUACCUGGUUAGCUCUGAGAAUAUUUUGUCUCUUCACUUCGAAUUCUGGACUCAAUUUCUGACGGUUCCAUAUAUCCCAGUACUGAUUAUCUGAAGACUGGCUAACAAUUCCUUUCAUGUAAGUUUGCCUAGCAGAAACUGAAGGGGACAAUAAUGUAACAUAUCAGCCCACGUUUUCUGGUGGCUUCAUUCAUUUGUAAGUGAUCCAAUGAAGCAAAUUAAGCAUAGCUAUUAAUCAAGAAUAAUCAUUUGUAUUUCUUCAAAGUUAAUUCCAGACCACGUUGGUAUGAAUAACUGCAUAUGUAGUUUUCAUGAUUACAAUGGUACACACAUACAUCACAAACAAUGGCAAAAAUGACAUGAAGUAUUUAUCCUGCAAAAGCAUAUCAUUUUGAUCAAAUAAUUUCUUUCAGGCGUGAAGAUAUGUAAGGGAGCAAGAAAAAAAAGGUGUACCAUGUUCUACCUAAUUACUAAAAAGAUAGUCAAAAGAACAUACGAAUAUCUCACCUUGAAACAUGUUGUUCCUCAGAUCUUCAAUUUUUGAACAUUGCUCCUCUACUUUGCCCUGGGGUUUAAAACAAGCAUAUAUGUUUAGUAAAGUUUUAUAAUAGAGGAAUGGACAGCACCCCAGACACAGUUGAGGGUCACUCGUAAUUAUGAUAUACCUUGAAGACCUGCAACAGCUGCAAAAAGUUUUGUAAGCCAUCCUCAAACAUAGAAAGAGGACGCUGUUGGAUGGUUAUGCAGGCAUCUCUAAAACCACCAUCCUUUUCUAUAUAUGCUAGUAGGGCAUCUAACUCCUUCGUCAUUUCAUUUAUCUGUAACAAAGGGGACAAACUUUAGUGUCCGAGACAGACAAGAUGCCAAAGUAUGUAGGUGAUGCGCCAUGAGGCAACAAAUAAGACAUGCACUUAUUACUUAAAAGUUCCUUGCAUCGGUGAUAGUAUUUCCUAGAGGCCUGGGGAAAGUAAAUAAAGGUAGAAAAAUAUAAUAAUUAAACAUGUUCAGCUGUCUUACACUGUAAAAUUUUUUAGACAAGUCUUGUUCAGAAUCGAAUCCUGUGCCCUUCUUGGAGUUUCUAGAAUAUUCUGCCGGUGCUUGUGUCCUGCUGUUAUGUGAUUUGCCCAUAGAUUGCUGUGACGGAGGUGAUCCACGCAAUGAUUGAGGUGCUUCAGAGUUUGCUGUCCGAAAUCCACUUGAUGAAUAUCCAAUUGGGGAAGGUUUAGCCGGAGAUAUAGAUGAUGAAGGUACAGAGCUUAAGGCAACUGGAGCACCAAAAACUUUUCUAUCAGCGGUGUAACUGGUUUGCAGCGAAGGAACUCCAAAACCAACCUCAUUCCUUUCUCCGAUCUUGGCAGGGACAGAUCCACUAGAGGUGAAUAAUGAAGACUUGAAACCAUAGACAUUGCCAUCUUUAUUGGAGUUUUGAGAUCCACCAAAUAUUCCCACUGAUUGAACUGAAUCCAGGCCUUCUUUACCAGUUUGGUUGUUUCCAAAACUUCUGCUGCUUGGUUGCAAGGAAGAAGCUAAUUCAUUAGGUGCAUUGCCUCCUGUUGGAUUCAUGCCUUCAGUAGAAAAGCUGGAAAAUAUUGUAGGUUUUGUGUUUCCUGUUAACGCUAAGCUACGCAAGGCUGCAGGUGGACCAGUCACAUUCACUUGCUUGGUGUCUAAGGGCUUCUUAUUGGAAGAGAUAAACAAUGAAUUGUCAGUUGUUUCCUGUUCUUUUGAAGCUGAGCUACUGUUUUUCACAUUUAUUGAUUCCUGCUGGUUGCUACCUGCAAGGAUAUAACAUAAGGGUACUUUAGUUUUCAAAAGCACUUGGACAAACAAAAGAAUAGCUCAUCAAAGUGCAACUUAGAAGCUCUUGGCUAUCAUCCUUUUACCUGUUUGCGCACUAGAUGGCUCAGCACCAUGUUCUGUGAGAGUACUCUUAUAUACUGAGCCUGCAACACUUGGAGUCAACUCCUUUUCAGAUACAGUUGCAGGUGAAAUAUGUUUUUCACCAUAGUCCUCAUUGGUAGACACAGUAGCAUGAGGUAAAUCAGAAGGGUCCGAAAUCCUAAACAAUAUGCAGUGUCAAUACAAAAAAGUUUCUCCAAAAGAAGUUCAAGAUUUAGAAGUUUGCCUAAAGUGACCAAAUUUUCACAAUAUUAGGCUGACAAAUAUCAACAAACAAUGUUUACCUGGCGAGGUAAUAUACAGCUACUUUGCCCUCACCAGUCAAACAUAGGAGAAUAUGUUGAGGGGCAACCUCCUUUUGUUCAGGUCCAACUGGUACAGUGAUCUUUUGAAAUAAUGAAACAUUCUCAACACCAAACCCUAGUAUGACAUUGUCAUCGCCAUUCUCUGAAAAAUCAUAAAGAAGACCACAACUGUUUAGACUUCAUUUUCGAAGAAGCAAAAGCAACAGCAUAUCAUAAAAGCCAUGUUUCCUGGGAUAGGAUUUACCUUGCAAGUCAAUCCUAGGACUGUAUUUAUCCUCCAACAUUUCAAGAUAUGUUACAGUUUUUUCAUCAUCAUGUGCAGAUGGCCACUUAAGAAGGGCAAUGUGUUCAUCGACGCUCUUUUUAUUGGAAGCCACCAUGAGACCCCUAAAAAUUAUUUUUAAAAAAAAUCCCACUUACAAGUUCCCGCCAGAGAAGAGAAAUGCAUACAGAACCUAGUAAGCAAAUAAAUAUCAACGUGCACAGCAUAUGGGCUAGCAAAAAAAGGGUGGAUCUCACCUGACUAUAUCCCUUUUUUAUCUAAUGUACUCCCUCAAUUUUAAAUUAGAAGACAUUUUGGCUUUUCUAGAUUCAUAGCUUUUGCUAUGUAUGUAAAUAUACACUAUCUAGAUACAUAGUAAAAGCAAUGUAUCUAGAAAAGCCGGAUGAAGUAGUAAUAUUGAAAUCCAACAAAGCAACACCAGCACAACAAUAAAAAGGCUAAUAGAUUUUUUAUCCUAAAUUACAUAUAGAAGACCCCAUUGCAUGGUAAGAGAACCUAGCAAGCAAACAAAGUAAGAGAAGACAAAAUACACAUGGUUACGCCCUUGUUGAGGUAUACAAUUUACUGGUAUGUGCCAUCUUUCAUAUCGUACCUAUUGCUAUAGGGGCACUGUCUGGAAAAUAUUCACUAAGUCACUAUAUAGUAUAUAUUCCCUUGAUUACGAAUCAAGUGGUAAAUGGGGACUAUUAAAAAAACUUCACUUGGGGGAGAAAUAUUCCCCAUGUCUAUCAAGUGGUAAAUGGGGACUAUUAAAAAACUUAACCUGGGGACAAAUAUCCCCCAGUUUGGGGGGGGGGGGGGGAUUGACCCCAGACUUCGGCCGUCUAAGUAUCACAUGACUACCAAUUGUGUACAAUGCCAUGUUUUUAAUAAGGUGAGUUGAUCGAUCAAGGAUUUCCUUCUUCAAACAUUUUUUGGUGAAAUCCAUGCAUAAAAAUCAUUUUCCACAUCAGUACUCAAAAUCUGUCCAAUAACAGCCUACCAAUAUACAUUUUGAGAAUACUCAAGAGCCUAGGUUCACAUACCAGCGAUGCAGAUAACCCAAAAGAAGAUUAGGUCCAGCUCCGGGUGGUAAAACAUCAUCCAUAAUGCCAUGGAAAAAAUCGUUAUAGGUAUAAACAUCUGUCUUGCCUGGGCUCUGUAAGCACAUUGCAGAAGUAACAGUCAGUCCAACCAAUUAGUACUGUAAUAUUUGUUAAGAUAAUAAUUACAUAGAUAUGUUUUACUAACCCUUGCCAAUAAAUGAUACAAUCAUAAACCAUUUUUAGGAUUUAAUUUGUGUUAUCCGAGAGUUGAAGGCUAUACACAAAAACAUAGACACAAUUUUAGCUUGCAUAAAUCCCCACCAAGAAACAUGAACUUGGCAAACAUUCAGAUUAUAUCCUUGAAACAUGAUUUGCCACUUUGCUGUGGUCUGGCCUGACUAUGCCCAGAGAGAGAUAUGUAGCUAUUGAAGCAACUUUGUACACACAUGUUCCUAAAAGUAUAUGCAAAUGAAACUUUGGCUAUGUGCCCGAAGAGAGAUCUCUAGCAAUUGAAGCAACUUUAUACAAGCAAGUUGCUAAAAUAUAUGAAAAUGAAACUUUAGCUAAAUAGCACAUCACGUGAUAUGAAUCCGGCGACAGCAAAAAAGGCGUCUAGAGGACCAGCUAACCUCACAAAAUGUGCUUUCUUCAGUCCUUAUAACUUGAACAAGGUAUCCUUCUUCAUUGUCAUCUUCGUUUAAUCGAACACACCCAAUAACAAUACUAUCACCAUGUACCCAGCCAAUAGAAUCCACUGCUCGCAAAUAGAAAUCGUCAAUAAUGAACAAUAAAAGUACAUACUGAAUUCAAUUAAGCUGCAAGUAAACCAGUAACAUACAAAACAAACUGAUGACUCUAUGUCCUAUGUAUACAUCUCAAAGUUUAUGGAGCAAAUGUCAAAAAAAGAAGACUUUACUAAGGGGCUCUAGAUGACAAGAUAUCUCACAGUUUCCUAAGGGGCUAUCCAUUUUAUCACUGGUUCCUCAGUAUAUAAUUGUACAGGAUGACUAAGAUACAGCAAGUCAACAACUAGUUUUUUCACCGCUGAUUCAUAAAUACUUUAUACUUGUUCCAAGAAUCCCUGACCAUCCAAUAAGUGAGCAUCAUACAUAGACUUUGGUGCUCACAAUUUUUUUCAUUAAGACUCUGGCGCUUUUUGUGCAUACUUCAUCUCGUGGUCGGACUCUUCUCCUUUAUGUUGAUGAUAUGAUCAUCACAGGAGAUGAUCCUGAAUAUAUUGCCUUCGUUAAGGCACGUCUUAGUGAGCAGUUUCUCAUGUCUGAUAUUGGUCCUCUUCGUUAUUUCCUUGGGAUAGAGUUUUCCUCUUCAUCUGAGGGUUUUUAUCUGUCCCAAGAGAAGUACAUUCUAGACCUUCUUGAUUGGACCUCUCUUACUGAUUAGUGGACAGUUGACACUCCUAUGGAACUCAAUGUUCAUCUCCGUGCCAAGGAUGGUGAAGCUCUUGAAGAUUCUACUCGUUAUCGUCACAUUGUUGGGAGUCUUAUUUGUUACUUGUCCUGAUACCUCAUACUCUGUACACAUUCUCAAUCAGUUUGUUUCCGCCCCCACUCAGCUUCACUAUAGUCACUUGCUCCGGGUUCUACGUUAUCUUCGUGGAACUAACUCUCGUCGUUUGUUCUUUCCACGAUCCAACUCUUUACAGCUCCAAGCAUAUUGUGAUGCUACUUGGGCUAGUGAUUCCUCUGAUCAUCGUUCUCUUUCUGUCUAUUGUGUUUUUCUUGGUGGUUCCCCCAUUGCUUGGAAUAUUAAGAAACAUGUAGUGGUUUCUCGUUCGAGUGCAGAGGCUGAGUUACGUGCUAUGGCUCUUGUGACUGCGGAGGUUACUUGGUUGCGGUGGUUGCUUGAGGAUUUUGGUGUCUCUGUUUGUAUGCCAACUCCUCUUUUGUCUAACAUUACAGGUGCUAUUAGUAUUGCUUGUGAUCCGGUAAAGCAUGAGCUUACCAAGCAUAUUGGUGUUGACGCUCAUUAUACACGAGCACAGAUACAAGAUGGUGUUGCUGUCAGAGCUUCAGCUAGCAGAUUUCUUCACCAAGGCACAAACCUGAGCUCAGCAUCGAUUUUAUCUCUCCAAACUCAGUAUUCUUGAUCCACCUUGAGUUUGAGGGAGGUGUUAGAGAUAUAUGUAUAUAUUUGUAUUUCCCCUUCCAUAUUUGUAAUCUCAUGUACUUCUAUAUAUUCGGGCCUAGAGCCCUCGUAAUAUACUCAUGACUCAUCAAAAAAUAUAGAACAAAAAAGCCUUAGUCCCAAGCAAGCUGCCAAGCUGGGGUAGGAUGAGGGAAAUAAUAUUAACAAAACAACAAUAAGAUUAAAAUUAGAGCAUUUCAUUCUGUAUCUAGGGAUUGUAAUCUAGAAUUAUAGACUACACAAGAAAUAGGUGUAUGGUUACCUUUGAUGGUAGUGCCCUUUGAAUCACUUCCGUCAGACCACAACUGGAACAAGAGGGACAUGGAGCAUGUUUCCGUAAAAUCUGGUGAUAAUAUGGUAAGUUUGUUCCCUCUUGCAACAGCAAUAUGAUUUCCUUCUUUGCAACAGUCAACUAUAUACAUUUCAAAAAGAUAUCUUACUUCAGUUUGAAAACAAAAAUCAGUUUGAAAACAAAAACAGUGAUUGUGUUUCAGUUACAACAUUGCAUCAGUGAUGGUUAGCAAAAAACUAACUUUGCAAAAAAAAUACAAAGCAGAAUGCAUAAAGACCUCAGAGUAAACAGUGCAUCUGAAGAUAAAUAUAAUAAUUUGCAUUACUAUUUGUGUACACUUGUACAGAUCUCUGAUAAAUUUAAUGUAGCCAGCCUUGUUAAGGUAAAGGAUUUGUUGUUGUUGUGACUUGUGAGGUGUUGUUAAGAGUAGCCAUUAGAGAAAAUAGAUCACGAGAUUAUCCUAUUGGUUGUGACUGCAAUUUCCUUUAUAUAGAAACUUGUAGCAUGUAAGUAAUGGGUGUUUUCAUUUGCAUGUAUCAUCUAUGCUACAACAUUUGGAAACUAUAGAAUCAUCAUAGAACAAUGAACAUUGUCCAGUAAACACUAAAGCAUUAUUCGCACCACUGAACUUCACUUAAAUAGAAUUAAUUAGUUUCUAUAGUGAAGUACAUGACAUAUUUGACACACUAAGAAUGGGACCUGCAUCGACGUUUUCCAUCACAUCUUUCAGGCCUUCACCCAAAUUCCCAUGACACAGCAACCCACCAUUUGAGAGUACAAUAUAUGCUGCAGAGGCAUGAUUUAACCACUUGAAAUCUUUCACAGUGACAGCUCGUUCCAGGCUACAUGAUGAGGAUGGUACCACGUCCUGUGCAGCGCAAUUGCUAAGAAAUGUUAUAAUCUUGACAAAAGCCAUGACACCCUGACAGAAGCUUGUGAACAAACUAAUGGAGCUGAAAACAGAUCAGAUCAAUAAACAGUGCAAUACAGGCCUUAUCCAGCAGCACGAAAGGAAUAACCAAUCUGAACUCGUACAGGUCCUACUACUCGGAGAGAAGCAUACAUGGUUGAUAUGCCCCUAGUCCAUUGCUGACUGUAGUGCUCUUACAUGAAAAGGUCACUCAAGUUUGUGAAGAAACUGAAUUAAACAGUAAGCUAAACUAGUCUUCUCAUUUCACGUACCACUGCACUAGCCUAUAUAGAAAUACAGCAUGCACAAACUUUGCAGAGACCCUUAGAAAAAUUGAUAACCUUAUGUGUGAGCAGAGACGCCAGCGAGAAGAACUGGAUCUCAGUAUGUGUGCAGGCGGCUAACACGGACUCAUCAUGGGAGAGCGCGAUAAGGGAUACACCGGGGAGGGGCACGUCGGCGACGCAGCAGUCCUGCGCGCAGCGAGUGCUCGACUUGCCCUUCUCGCGCGCCUCCUUGCUGGCUUCGAUUAACUCCUUGGUCCUCACAGCUAUAAACCCUGUAAAUCGAAUGACAAUCCCUAGUUAGGCGGUGAGAUCGAGAUGGGAAUGCCGAGCGGAGUAAACAUUCGGCUCGGUGAUACCGCUGGGGUGGGCGAGGAAGACGGUGGCGUGUCGGUCGGAGACGGCGAGCGGGCGCGCGGGAGGGGACAGCAGGUCGAAGAGCGGGAGCGGGUUGGAGUCGGUCGGGAGGAGCGGGAUGGGGUCACCGGCAAGGCGGAAAACAAAGUCGGUGGUGCCGUCCUCCUCGCCCUCCACCUCGUCGGAGAGCUCGAGCUCGCGCGGCGCCCCCAUGGCCAGCCACUGCGGUGGCUGUAGGGUUAGGGUUUUGGAUGGGAGGGAGCAGUGAAGGGGUUUGGUAGUUUUUCACGGCGACGCUUUAGUGGGUGGCUCGGCGUGGUGUGUAAGCAGAGUGACCGCCGCCGGCCAUGGUGAUGGCCUGGUUCAUCAGUUUUUAUUGAUUGAUUUCAUUCGCGAAAACAAUGGACUUUUGAGUUGAGCUUUCGGAUCAAGGAAGGUCCGCGGAGUGAGGCUUGUAUGUUGUAUCCUAGAAUGCACUGUUGACAAGGUAGACUUUAAAAUAAAAGUUGAGUAAAAGUUGAGAUGAGUAAAAGCUGGUGAAGACAAUAGUCUUUUUUUUCUUAGACUAUCUUCAGCGAAGGUAUUCAGAAUGUAUUUGAUUCAACUUUGUGAACAAUAUUUGCUGUCAAAAUCUAGAAAUCUAACUAAAUAGUUAUAACACUAGAAUAGGAUCCUGAAAAAUCUAUAGAUUUUUUUAGUUCAAUUCAAAAUUACCUCUUAUCCCAAUUUUUCAUAAUAUUGUCAUCCAUGUUACAAGUUAUCAUUCUUUUAUAAAAUCAGUGUCGUCCCUAAGGAGAUGCGGGAGUGUGGCCACGCCAAUCCCCCAAAAAGAGUGAGGAACCAAACCGCGCACGGAUGUUAGUAUGUUAGAGAUUUAGACUGUUAUACUAAUGACUCAAUUGCUUAUCGAAUAUUAUUUACUACACUCGUGAUUUUGCAUCGAUUAAAAAAGUCUUUUCAAAUUUAAAAUUAUUGAUGAAUUGUUUGAGAUCAACAAUAAUUCAAGAGAGGUUAACCAAUGGUAUAGUCGAUGAUUUUAUAUCACAAAAUGUUAAAAUAUAUUCUUAGCAUUAUAUCAAGUAACAAAUGUUUAUGGCUACAUUUUAUAUUUGCCAUCUUAUAAACUUUUAAGUAUUGAAUAAAAGUUUUAUAUAUUGGAUAUUCAAUAAUAUGUGUAUACUAUUAUAUAUACAUAAAUAUAUAUUAUAAUAUAAUGGGUCGGUAUAUUAGAAGCCCAGGACAGGUGUCUCCUAGUCCACACCAACCACCCCAGGUUCGUACCUAACAACCACGCACCAGGUCAAACCUCCUCCACGCGUUUUAGUUAAACCUCUAGGAUAACACCCAACCACGCUAUAAAAUGUGUUUUUUUGCAUAAAUAGCAUAAAUAGUUUAAAAAUAUCGUAAAUGCUUUAUAGAGAUAGCAUAAAACCUGCUGCUACUGGACCACAUCCACAUACAUAGAUGCAUGCAUGCAGAUCCUAUUUUUAUGGUACAUCCGAUAAUUAGGCAGGUUAUAUGAGUUUUCAUUGCAAGUGCGAAAGAUUUGGAUGACAUUUUCGUUUCCACUACAUACGCACAAAAAUUGGAUGUCCCCCAAAAUAUAGGAUCGCUCCAACAGCCAUGAAGUUAGGCUCGUUAGAACAAGUUUAUGAUAUAUACCGAGGGUCCGUUUGGUAGAGCUCUAGCUUGUCCAAAAACAGCUCUAACUAUGGCUUUUCCUAAAAAGGAGCUUUUUGGUAGAGCUGAAGCCAUUUCGCAAAUCAUUUUGUAUAAACAGAUUAUCCUAGAGCCGAAGUCAUUUCUCUAUAUUAAAGUGCUAGAGCCAGGGUAAAGUCAGUGAAGCUACUAUUUGUGGCUUCUUAUGCGAAGUACAAAAAUGGCUCUGGUUUUUAGGUGCUUUUCGCAGUAAGAUGUUUUUAAAAUGGUGUUUGGCAGGUGUCGGCGUUUCGAGACAGGGGGGUCCCUAAGCCGACGAGUGAGUGUGUUGCGUGCCCCAGCCCAGAUGGGUCGAGCGCGUGGGCGAGCGCGAAGGGGGGAGAGGCGAGGUGGCCGGAGUCGAGCGUGAGAGAGGUGGAAGUCCCGCGGCCUUCGUGUUCGUCCCGCGCCCAGGUCAGGUGCGCUUGCAGUAGGGGGGUUACAAGCGUCCACGCGGGUGAGGGAAGCGAGCGGCCCCAAGAGAGCGCCUGUCCCGUCCUCGGUCCCGCGCGGCCAACCCUCUCUAAGAAGGCCCUGGUCCUCCCUUUUAUAGUCGUAAGGAGAGGAUCCAGGUGUACAAUGGGGGGUGUAGCAGAGUGCUACGUGUCUAGCGGAGGGAGAGCUAGCGCCCUAGGUACAUGCCAAUGUGGCAGCCGGAGAGAUCUGGGCACCCUGCUGGCGUGAUGUCGUGGCUGUCGGAGGUGCGGCGGAGCCUGGCGGAGGGACAGCUGUUGGAGCGGUCGAGUCCCUGCUGACGUCGUCCUGCUUCCGUAAGAGAGCUGGGGGCCGCCGUCGUCAUAGAGCUUGUGGAGCGCCAUCAUUGCCCCUCCGGCGGAGCUGGCCGGAUGGGACGCCGGUCUUGUUCUCUGUGACCCGAGUCGAUUCGGGGUAGGAUGAUGAUGGCGCUUCCUGCUGACGUGGCGGUCUGUGCCCUAGGCAGGGCGACGUGGGGGUUCCUCCGAAGCCGAGGUUGAGUCUGUCUUCCGUUGCCGUGGCCGAGCCCGAGCCAUGGGGUCGGGCGAGGCGGAAGUCGUUCGGCCGAGGCCAGGGCGGAGUCCGAGCCCUGGGGUCGGGCGAAGCGGAGUUUCGUCGUCUUCCGGGUGUUAGCCCGAGUCCGAGCCCUGGGGUCGGGCGGAGCGGAGUUCGCCGUCUUCCGGGUCUUAGCCCGAGUCCGAGCCCUGGGGUCGGGCGGAGCGGAGUUCGCCGUCUUCCGGGUCUUAGCCCGAGUCCGAGCCCUGGGGUCGGGCGGAGCGGAGUUCGCCGUCUUCCGGGUCUUAGCCCGAGUCCGAGCCCUGGGGUCGGGCGGAGCGGAGUUCGCCGUCUUCCGGGUCUUAGCCCGAGUCCGAGCCCUGGGGUCGGGCGGAGCGGAGUUCGCCGUGGCGCCUUUGGCAAGGCCUGACUGCCUGUCAGACUCACUCUGUCGAGUGGCACUGCAGUCGGAGUGGCGCAGGCGGCGCUGUCCUUCUGUCAGACUGGCCAGUGGAGCGGUGGAGUGACGGCGGUCACUUCGGUUCUGCCGGGGGCGCGUGUCAGGAUAAAGGUGUCAGGCCACCUUUGCGUUAAAUGCCCCUGCAAUUUGGUCAGUCGGUGUGGCGAUUUAGUCAAGGUUGCUUCUGAGCGAAGCCAAGGCCUCGGGCGAGCCGGUGAUGUGUCUGCCAUAAAAAGGGGGCCUCGGGCGAGACGGAAGUCUCUCGAGGUCGGCUGCCCUUGGCCGAGGCUAGGCUCGGGUGAAGCGUGAUCGAGUCACUCGUGUGGACUGAUUCCUGACUUAAUCGUACCCAUCAGACCUUUGCAGCUUUAUGCUGAUGGGGGUUACCAGCUGAGAAUUAGGCGUCUUGAGGGUACCCCUAAUUAUGGUCCCCGACAGUAGCCCCCGAGCCUCGAAGGGAGUGUUAGCACUCGCUUGGAGGCUUUUGUCGCACUUUUUUGCAAGGGGACCAGCCUUUCUCGGUUGCAUUUCGUUCCGGUGGGUGCGCGCGAGCGCACCCGCCGGGUGUAGCCCCCGAGGCCUCAGAGGAGUGGUUACACUCCUUCGAGGUCUUAAUACCUCGUGUAACGCUUCGGCUGGUCUGGUCGUUCCCUCAUGCGAACUGGCCGUAGCCCGGGUGCACGGUCGGGGCCCAAGCUCUCGGGCUGGUAUGUUGACGCUGUCAACGAUUCGGCCGGAGCCGGUUUUUGUGAGAGCAGCCCCCGAGCCUCUGCACAGGGCGAGAGGACGAUCAGGGACAGACUCGACUUUUUACAUACGCCCCUACGUCGCCUUUCCGCAAGGAGGAGGGGGGGAGUGCGUCAUGUUACCCUCGAUGGGCACCGAACAUGGUGUCUCCGGUGAGCUGCAAGCGGGUAAUCCGAGUGGACGUCCGUGCCCCGUUCGUUGGGGGUCGGCUAGGGGCCCAGAGGCACGCCCAAAAGUACCUGCGAGUGAUUUGCCGGACCCGGUCCCCUGGCGACGGGGUCCGAGGGCUCGAUGCCUCCCUCCGAUGGGAUUCCGUUACAAGAUCGUUCCCGCUGGUCUCGGAAAUGUCCUAGGGUACCUCGGGAGCGCAGCCCGAGCCUUGGUUAUGUAUCGAACGUACCCCUGGUCAUCCCUCGCUCGGUGUCUGAGGCGACUGUGAACCCUUCGGGGGCCAGCCUUCGAACCCCUGAUCAGUAAUGGGCGCGGAGCCCGAGUAGCCUGAGGCGGCCAUGGAACCCUUCGGGGGGCUGGCCUUCGAACCCCUGACCAGUAGUGGGUGUCGGGCCCACGCGAUCUGAGGCGGCUGUUGAACCCUUCGGAGGGUCAGCCUUCGAACCCCUGAUCAGUAGUGGGGGGCUCGGAGCCCGGUUCCUUCGCGGAGAAGGAUCCCUUUCGGGGUAUCCCCCUUUCCCGGUCCCUGUUGCAAGAGAUAGAGAAAGAGGAAAACGGAAAAGGAUACGAAAUCGGACGACGUGGCGUACCUUUUCUGACGCGGUUAUUAUGGCGAAGGUGAAGCGUCGCGCGCUCCUCCCGUCAGAGACGCCGCCUGUCCCGCCGCGGAGUUAAUGCGACGGGGCAAGUGGUUGGCGGGGCGGCCGUUGCGCGCGUGCGAUCCGUUCGAGGAACGGGUCACGGGUGCACCGUCUCCACGCCGUGAGAGGAGGCUCCCUUGCUGUCCCAGGAUGGGGCGUGAGCCUGGCUGACGACGCGACCGCUGCGCCCGCCCGCCUGCCACCGCUAUUACUGCUGGCCCGCUUUCGGUCGCUUUGACCGACGCGCCAGGCUGGCGCUGUUGGGUCGCCUCGAGUUGCGGCAUAGGCUCCGCAACCGAAGAGGCGCGAUGGUGGCACAAGUGGCGGUGCGGUUGCUUGCAUGCAGCAACUGGCGCGCCGGUUGCUCGACGCGUGUGCCUGGGUUCCCAAGCUGGCGUGCCAGAAGUCGGAGAAGCGCGUCCAUCUGGCGCGGUUGCAUGCCGCCUGCAUGGCUGCCCGCCCCUUCUGCCCGUUGGUCUGGGCGAAAAUGGAGGGUCGCUUGUAACCGCUGGACGGUCGUGCGCACCACGCGCGGCGGUUUGGCUUCUUCUGCCCUGAGCCGGCUUGCAUGACAUGCGGGACCCAGCCCCCGAGUCGCAGGGGAGGGCCUUGGAGCGUGUUGGAGAAGACUCAGCCCGCGGCGCCUGGGGGCGUACGUAGGGAGAGUUGCCUUUAAAAGGAGGGAGACUCCUUUCGGAAGGCAACCAUGUCUUCUUCCUCCCUUAAGCGUCGUGUCUUCCCAUCUUCCAAGCCCCCGGAUGGGGGGUAUCCGCCGCCUUUCCGCCUCCUCGUUGGAGGAACGCAACUCCAUGGGAGUUGGUACCUCUCAGCCAUCGUUCGGCUUCAAGGAUUUUCAUCAGCCGGCCCGGCCGUACCCCCAUGCCGACGAUCACCCAGGAUGGUGACUGCCGGUUUCUGGGUGGGGAAGAGCAAGCCGGGCUGCGAUCUUGGUCCCACCCUCAGCUUCAAGGAUGUUCAUCAUCCCCGCUGGGGCGGGAGCCACGCCGAGCCGGCGCUCUACCUUCCGCGCGGGUCCGCGGGUCGCCCUUUCCCGCGGCGUUUGGGGGUGGAGGCGCUCGCUGGCCCUGCGGACGGCGCGGACUUAGACAACGUGGGGCUGAUCGACGGCGGGCGUCGUCACCUCCAGCGUGUCGGAGUCGUCGGCCGGGCUUCCGGCGGCCCCUCCUGCCGGAGGGUGACCGCCGCAUCGUGUGCACGGGAGGACCACCCACGAUUCCGCGCGUCGUUAGGGCGGCGCUCGUGUUCUGGGGUGGUCCUGCUUUUGCACUGGGACGGCGCCCUUGCGCAGAGGCCGGCGCCCCACUCGUCUGGGAGGAUUUGAGUGGGGAUCUGCCGGGGGGUCGGUGUCCCCUGCCAUCGGAGCCGAGGCGGAGGCGGCUCGAGAAGUCCUCGUCACCGACGGGAUCACUGCCACCACCCGCGCCCCGGGCCACCGCGCCGGCGUGCUUGUCCUCGCCCCUCGAGCGUCGGCGGGGGCGAGGGCAAGAUCGCAGCAGCGCCGGCCCACUGUCGCCGUAGUCAGGACGGGCGGCGGCGAGCCGGCCGUCGGUCUUCUGUUGCUCCGCAGGCCUUCCCCAUGGAGUGGGGUCGUUCGUACCUGCGGAGGGGGGAACCGGAGUUCCGUUCGUAAUGGCACUUCGAAUGCCAGUUGUUUUUUGUUCAUUGUGGCUGUCGGGGCCUGAACAUGUAUGUAAUUUCGGCACGGAGCCGUGUUUUUUCCUCAUUUUCGAGCACUAAGUCUCGCCUGUUGAUUAUCUGAACCGAUUUACCAAGCAUGAGUCGCCCCGUGUCAAGGUGACGGGUGAGGUAUCCGUAUCCCGGAGGCGUAGGAAUCCCUCGGCCCGUUCGGCCUUGUUGUCUGGGGCUCCUCUAGCUUAGUUAAAGAGACCCCUCGGCCGCCCUUCGGUGGACCGAGGCCAGGGGUAGCGAUAUCAGUAUGAACAGAGGCGGAGUUGGCUCGAGAAUGGGAACCUGGUUGGCCGGAGCCUAGCCGUGUUGUCCGUCAGCGGAGCCGACGCCAAAGUCGAUCAGUCGAGGCCUCGGGUCGGGCUGGCGCCCUUGGAAGCCAGUUGACCGAGGCCCCAGGGGUAACCGGUCGAGCCGCCUGCUCGGGCCGGAUUCCCGGAGGAGUCCCUGGACCGCGUCGCCGCCCGAGGCUGGGUCGGGCUUUGCUGAAGACGUCGUUGAUGCCGAGGGUGCUACGGCUCCCUUCAGCGUGAAGACCCGAGCCUGCAGGAUCAGAUCAUCUUGUAGCGUGUGCUUUCUGCGGCCGCCGAGGCCAGAAAAACACACCCUCGCCGCGCUUGCGAAGCUGCGUCUUUUUUCCUCUUGUUUCGAGCAUCUGGACUCUGUCGGUAACAGGGAUGUUUGUGUGAGCGAGAGUUGCUUUUCGCGGAAGGGACGAGUGAGGUAUCCGUAUCCCAGAGGCGUGGGAAUCCCUCGGCUCGGUCGGCCUUGCCGCUUACGCGUACUUUCACCCGUCCAUGAGGCCCUGUCCCCGACUUAGUCGAGAAAGCUUGAAGGACUGCUUCGGCAGGAGAGCUUCCGAACGUGAAGACUUGUUCGGUCCACGGAGUCGCUUUAUCCGAGCGCAAGUUACUUAUCGCAGAAGGUGAUGAGUGAGGUAUCCGUAUCCCGGAGGCGUAGGAGUCCCUCGGCUCGGUCAGCCUUGGCUGCUUACGUGUACUCCGUCGUUUCCAGGAUCCGCUUUCCGAAGUAGUCAAGAAGCACGAAAGAAAUCCUGCUAAAAAGAGAUCCUUUUUCGAGGAAAAAUUCGACGCAGAGGGGGUCUCCCCCCUUUUAGCCCCCGAGGGAGGGUCGGGCUUUGCCGAGGCUAGGCCGACCCUUCCUUGACGACUAAACUUUGCGUAGGUGCGAGGUAUAUGAACAACUUGAAAACAUCUUAAGGGUAGAAGCGACGUAGCUGUUUGAUGUUCCAAGCGUUGCCGUAGAUCUCGCCUUGAUUGUUGGCCAACUUGUAUGUUCCGGGCUUCAGAACUUUGGCGAUGACGAAUGGCCCUUCCUAGGGGGGCGUGAGCUUGUGCCUCCCUCGGGCGUCUUGCCGCAGCCGAAGCACCAGAUCGCCCACCUGGAGUUCUCGGGACCGGACCCCUCGGGCGUGGUAGCGUCGCAGGGACUGUUGGUACCGCGCCGAGUGUAGUAAGGCCCUGUCCCGAGCUUCCUCCAGCUGGUCCAGCGAUUCCUCUCGGCUAGCUUGGUUGCUUUGUUCGGUGUAGGCCCUCGCCCUCGGGGAGCCGUAUUCCAGGUCAGUGGGCAAGAUAGCUUCAGCCCCGUAGACCAGGAAAAACGGCGUGAAGCCCGUGGCACGACUCGGCGUCGUCCUUAGGCUCCAGACCACCGAGGGGAGUUCCUUCAUCCAUCGCUUGCCGAACUUGUUGAGGUCGUUGUAGAUCCGAGGCUUGAGCCCUUGUAGAAUCAUGCCGUUGGCGCGCUCUACUUGCCCAUUCGACAUGGGAUGAGCCACGGCGGCCCAGUCCACCCGGAUAUGGUGAUCCUCGCAAAAAUCCAAGAAUUUUUUGCCGGUGGACUGGGUGCCGUUGUCGGUGAUGAUGGAGUUCGGGACCCCGAAGCGAUGGAUGAUGUUGGUGAAGAACGCCACCGCCUGCUCGGACCUGAUGCUGUUCAGAGGUCGGACCUCGAUCCACUUGGAGAAUUUGUCGACGGCGACCAGCAAGUGCGUGUAGCCCCCGGGCGCCUUCUGCAAGGGACCGACGAGGUCCAGACCCCAUACAGCGAAGGGCCAGGUGAUGGGUAUUGUCUGCAGAGCCUGAGCGGGCAGGUGCGUCCGCUUCGCAUAGAAUUGGCACCCUUCGCAGGUGCGGACAAUUCUAGUGGCGUAAGCCACCGCCGUUGGCCAGUAGAAGCCUUGCCGGAAAGCAUUUCCGACAAGGGCUCGGGGCGCUGCGUGGCGGUCGCAAGCCCCCGAGUGUAUUUCUUGCAGCAGUUCCCGACCUUCGGCGAUGGAGAUGCAUCGCUGGAGGAUGCCCGAGGGGCUGCGAUGGUAGAGCUCCUCUUCGUCGCCCAGCAAGACGAAUGACUUGGCGCGUCGCGCUACCCGCCGAGCCUCGACUUGGUCGGGGGGUAGCUCUCCUCGACGGAGAUAUUGCAGGUACGGGGCCUGCCAAUCUUGAUCUGGCGUGGCCCCGCUCUGCCCUUCCUCGACGUUCAGUGCCUCGCCCUCGGAGGCCGAGGGUACCUCGGGCUGUGCCGAGGGUACCUCGGGCUGUGCCGAGGGUACCUCAGGCUGAGCCGAGGGUACCUCGGGCUCGGGCGCGUCGUCGAGCUUGACGGAGGGUUGAUGCAGAUCCCGGGAGAAGACGUCCGGGGGGACUGUCGUUCGCCCUGAGGCUAUCUUAGCCAGCUCGUCUGCGGUUUCGUUGUAGCGCCGAGCGAUGUGGUUGAGCUCGAGCCCGAAGAACUUGUCUUCCAGGCACCGAACCUCGUCGCAGUAGGCCUCCAUCUUCGGGUUGCGGCAGUGGGAGUUCUUCAUGACUUGGUCGAUGACGAGCUGCGAAUCACCGCGGGCGUCGAGGCGUCUGACCCCUAGCUCGAUGGCGAUCCGCAAUCCGUUGACCAGAGCUUCGUACUCGGCCACAUUGUUGGACGCCGGGAAAUGGAGGCGCAGCACGUAGCGCAAGUGCUUUCCGAGGGGCGAGAUGAAGAGCAGGCCCGCGCCGGCCCCCGUCUUCAUCAGCGACCCGUCGAAAAACAUGGUCCAGAGCUCCGGUUGGAUCGGAGUCGUUGGCAGCUGGGUGUCGACCCAUUCGGCCACGAAAUCCGCCAACACCUGGGACUUGAUGGCCUUCCGAGGGGCGAACGAGAUCGUUUCGCCCAUGAUUUCCACCGCCCACUUUGCGAUCCUACCCGAGGCCUCUCGGCUCUGGAUGAUCUCCCCCAGGGGGAAGGAUGACACCACAGUUACCGGAUGAGACUCGAAGUAGUGUCGCAGCUUCCGCCUUGUUAGGAUCACAUCAUACAUCAGCUUUUGAACUUGUGGGUAGCGGAUCUUAGUCUCGAACAGCACUUCGCUGAUGAAGUAGACCGGCCUCUGAACGGGCAAUGCAUGCCCUUCCUCUUGCCUUUCUUCUUGGCGCCGCGCGGAGCAGACGCCUCGGGAGCCUCUUUCGAUGGGCGGCCCUGGGGCUGCUUGUCCUUUCGGAAGAUAGCCUCGACCGCCUCCUGGCCAGAGGCGAACUUGGUGGCGAUGUCCAUCAGCUCGCUCGCCCUGGUGGGGGUUUUGCGACCCAGCUUGCUCACCAGGUCGCGACAAGUGGUGCCGGCGAGGAACGCGCCGAUGACAUCCGAGUCGGUGAUGUUGGGCAGCUUGGUGCGCUGCUUCGAGAAUCGCCGGAUGUAGUCCCGGAGCGACUCCCCCGGCUGUUGCCGGCAGCUUCGAAAGUCCCAGGAAUUCCCGGGGCGCACGUAUGUGCCCUGGAAAUUGCCAGCGAAGGCUUGGACCAAGUCGUCCCAGUUGGAGAUCUGCCCCGGAGGCAGGUGCUCCAACCAGGCGCGAGCAGUGUCAGAGAGGAACAGGGGGAGGUUACGGAUGAUGAGGUUGUCGUCGUCCGUUCCACCCAGUUGGCAGGCAAGGCGGUAGUCCGCGAGCCACAGUUCCGGUCUCGUUUCCCCCGAGUACUUCGUGAUAGUAGUCGGGGGUCGGAACCGGGUCGGGAAUGGCGCCCGUCGGAUGGCCCGACUGAAGGCCUGCGGACCGGGUGGUUCGGGCGAGGGACUCCGAUCCUCCCCGCUGUCGUAGCGCCCCCCACGCCUGGGGUGGUAGCCUCGGCGCACCCUUUCGUCGAGGUGAGCCCGACGGUCGCGUCGAUGGUGCUCGUUGCCGAGGUGGCCCGGAGCCGCAGGCGCGGUGUUGCGCGUGCGCCCGGUGUAGACCGAGGCUUCCCGUAUGAAUCGGGAAGUCGCGGCAUGAGGUUCCAAGGGAUAUCCUUGCCUUCGGGAGGCAGUGCUCUCGGCCCGCCGGGCCGCAGCGCCUUCCAGGAGAUUCUUGAGUUCUCCCUGGAUUCGCCGACCCUCGGUGGUUGACGGCUCUGGCAUCGCGCGGAUGAGCAUUGUUGCGGUUGCCAGGUUCUGACCAAUCCCGCUGGAUGCGGGCGGCGGCCUGAUCCUGACAUCGUUGGCGACGCGGUGCUGGAGACCUUGGGGCAGGUGACGUAUUUCUCCGGCCAGGGGUUGGCCCACCCAUGCCUGUCCGACGUCCCGACGGAUCGGCUCAAGCGCUCCUGUUCCCUCGUUGAGCCUGGCCUGCGCCUCGCGGACUUGCUCGAGUUGUGGGUCGUAACCCCCCGCCGGAGCGGGGACCACAGCUAGCUCCCGUGGGAUGUCGGCGCGAGGCACCGGCCUAGGGAGAUCACCGUCCUCCGGCAUGCCAAGAUGGUUGCCUUCGGAGGGAUCCCCUAGCUCGAUGUGGAAACAUUCGCGGCUUGGGUCGCAGCUCUCGUCGCCAAGGCUGCGGCUUCCAUCGGAACAGUCGGAUAGGCAGUAGUCACAUGCGGUCAUGAAGUCCCGCACGGCACUGGGGUUGCCAAGUCCGGAGAAAUCCCAACCGAUGCUGGGAUCGUCAUCUUCCUCGGACCCAGAGGGCCCGUAGGUCGAGACGUCCGUCAGUCGGUCCCAAGGCGACCGCAUACGGAACCUCAGUGGGGUUGUACUCGCCUCAAUGAGAGCGCCCGCCAAAACGAGGUCGUUUGGCGGGUUGAGGCCGAGUCGAAAUGACGCAAGAUGGGAGUUAGUCGGUACCUUUUGGUCGACGAGGAGCGACGUAGUCACAUCGGGGACUGGUUGCACCGUCAUCUCUGGUUCGAGGGCGACGUCCUGCAGGCUUUCCGCGAGCGCGCCGGCGUCGUCUUCUUGCUCGGGGUCAGCGUGCCGCGGGGGGACGGCGCUUGCCUCCGUCUUGAACGCGAGGUCGACGUCCGGCGUGCCUUCCGUCGGGGCGUCGGGGGCGUCAAUUCGCUCGACGGCCGACGAAGCGCGGCCUCCCACCUGGCCUUGACGGCCCCGCCUCCUCCUCCGUUGGCGGGGGAGAGAACGGAGCGAGCCCGAAUGUUGCCCUUCCACCACGCGGGGAAGACGUCGUCGAUUCCGCCGCCGGCGGGCGGGUUGUCGGCCGCCAUUGUCGUAGUCGCGCGGCGGUGGAAGAAGUAUCAUGUCGUAGCUGCCGUCGAAGGACAUGAACUCAAGAGUCCCGAAACGAAGCACCGUCCCGGGUCGGAGAGGUUGCUGGAGACUGCCCAUCUGGAGCUUGACGGGGAGCUGUUCGUCAGCACGUAGCAGGCCCCUACCUAGCGCGCCAACUGUCGGCGUUUCGAGACAGGGGGGUCCCUAAGCCGACGAGUGAGUGUGCUGCGUGCCCCAGCCCAGAUGGGUCGAGCGCGUGGGCGAGCGCGAAGGGGGGAGAGGCGAGGUGGCCGGAGUCGAGCGUGAGAGAGGUGGAAGUCCCGCGGCCUUCGUGUUCGUCCCGCGCCCAGGUCAGGUGCGCUUGCAGUAGGGGGGUUACAAGCUUCCACGCGGGUGAGGGAAGCGAGCGGCCCCAAGAGAGCGCCUGUCCUGUCCUCGGUCCCGCGCGGCCAACCCUCUCUAAGAAGGCCCUGGUCCUCCCUUUUAUAGUCGUAAGGAGAGGAUCCAGGUGUACAAUGGGGGGUGUAGCAGAGUGCUACGUGUCUAGCGGAGGGAGAGCUAGCACCCUAGGUACAUGCCAAUGUGGCAGCCGGAGAGAUCUGGGCACCCUGCUGGCGUGAUGUCGUGGCUGUCGGAGGUGCGGCGGAGCCUGGCGGAGGGACAGCUGUUGGAGCGGUCGAGUCCCUGCUGACGUCGUCCUGCUUCCGUAAGAGAGCUGGGGGCCGCCGUCGUCAUAGAGCUUGUGGAGCGCCAUCAUUGCCCCUCCGGCGGAGCUGGCCGGAUGGGACGCCGGUCUUGUUCUCCGUGACCCGAGUCGAUUCGGGGUAGGAUGAUGAUGGCGCUUCCUGCUGACGUGGCGGUCUGUGCCCUAGGCAGGGCGACGUGGGGGUUCCUCCGAAGCCGAGGUUGAGUCUGUCUUCCGUUGCCGUGGCCGAGCCCGAGCCAUGGGGUCGGGUGAGGCAGAAGUCGUUCGGCCGAGGCCAGGGCGGAGUCCGAGCCCUGGGGUCGGCGAAGCGGAGUUUCGUCGUCUUCCGGGUGUUAGCCCGAGUCCGAGCCCUGGGGUCGGGCGGAGCGGAGUUCGCCGUCUUCCGGGUCUUAGCCCGAGUCCGAGCCCUGGGGUCGGGCGGAGCGGAGUUCGCCGUGGCGCCUUUGGCAAGGCCUGACUGCCUGUCAGACUCACUCUGUCGAGUGGCACUGCAGUCGGAGUGGCGCAGGCGGCGCUGUCCUUCUGUCAGACUGGCCAGUGGAGCGGUGGAGUGACGGCGGUCACUUCGGUUCUGCCGGGGCGCGUGUCAGGAUAAAGGUGUCAGGCCACCUUUGCGUUAAAUGCCCCUGCAAUUUGGUCAGUCGGUGUGGCGAUUUAGUCAAGGUUGCUUCUGAGCGAAGCCAAGGCCUCGGGCGAGCCGGUGAUGUGUCCGCCAUAAAAAGGGGGCCUUGGGCGAGACGGAAGUCUCUCGAGGUCGGCUGCCCUUGGCCGAGGCUAGGCUCGGGUGAAGCGUGAUCGAGUCACUCGUGUGGACUGAUCCCUGACUUAAUCGUACCCAUCAGGCCUUUGCAGCUUUAUGCUGAUGAGGGUUACCAGCUGAGAAUUAGGCGUCUUGAGGGUACCCCUAAUUAUGGUCCCCGACAGCAGGGCUCUGGCUUUCUUCCACAGAAAAGCCAGAGCCAAAGCUCUGCCAAACGGGCUCUGAUACUAAUUAUGCUACACUGUGUAUGUAUUUAUGCAAUUCAGUACAAUGCGUACAAAUUUAUUUCCUGUUGUAUGUGCAUAAAUUUAGGAUGAUAGGAUUGUGCGAUGAAAGAAAAUGGAUUGACACGCAUGAAAACAAAAAAUCUUAUUUAAAUCAUUUAUUUCCUCAUAGAUAUAGGAUCACUUCGAUAGCUAUGUAGUCGGCUCGUUAGAACUAGUUUAUGAUAUAUACUGAUACUAAUUAUGGUACAUGUUGUAUGUAUUUAUGCAAUGUGGUACACUACGCAAAAUGUGGUUCGCUGGUGGACACAUCUCCGUUUUCGAGCGUAAAAACAUUCAGUUUUGAGCGUAAAAUACUGAUACAACGUGAAAGCUGUUGAAAACCUCUUGAUGUUGGCAUAUAUAUGUAUACAAAGUGAUAUAAAAUUAUGUAUGCGGUUGUAUGUCAUCACUUCACCGAAAACACGCAUUUAGGAGCGUCCCCCACCAGACGCGUGUAUGCGGUCCUAUUUUUAGGCCAGAUUUAAAAAGCAUGGCAACCACUAGCACAUACAUGUGAUUCCUAUUUUCAUGACAGGUUGUGGGAGUUUCCCAUUGCAUGUGCACUAGUUUUAAAUAACAUUUUCAUUCCCACGACACACAUGCAAAAAAUGUAUGGUUGGUAUCACGUAAAGCAUAUAUCAUUAUAGAAAGUUACAAAAAUACAUAUACCGUACAUCACAAUUAAUAAAGAAAAUUCUAUUAUGGGAUCAACCAACAGUCGCAUGCAUAGAACAAGAAUUGGAGGAGAUCAUCGACAGAGGAUGCCGCCAAGGCCAUCAGAUCGGAGGAGUUGGUAAACGAAGGACGUCCAAACUGUCAUGUAGAUCGCCGACCCUCGCAGUCGCGUCUCGCGUGACCGCCGGAGCCACCUGUGCCUUGCGUGGCAACCGCUAGAGGGCCUCGCUGCUGUGCGCGCAUGGGGAGCCACCGCCGCCACACGAGCCUCUGGUUCACGCCUCAGGUAACCGCCACCGACCAGUGAGGGGGCGUCGGCGCUCACGCCACCGGGGUCGUCGUCGUCGCUCGUGCCUCAAGGAACCAUUAUCACUCGCGCGAGCGCUUCGUCACUCGUGCAUCGAGAUAGGGGCGUCAAAAAAUAAAGCCUAUCGACCUAGGACAUCUUUUAUAGACGACGAGAUCUGGUGCGGUUGAACCGGAUGACCUGGUCUGGUUUGGGCUUCCUCUAGUUAUUAAAAACACAGUUCUUUAAAUAUAUAAACUAAUAGUGUAUAUAUAAAGAUUGGUGGGGCCUUCAUGUCGAAUUUUGCCCUAGGCCCCAAAAAGUUGGGAAAUCUAUAGUUAAAGUUGUUUCAACUGAAUAAAUUUCAAAUUCUCUCUAACCAUCAGCUCACAAUAGUUUUCUCACAGCUCACAGCUAGAAUCAAAUUACCAGGAAUCUACAGCUGAACCAAACAGACCCUUAUUUCAUCUUCUAUAUUAAACUCUUCAUUCUACAGUACAAUCUUUAUAGCGAAACAAAAUAGUAUAUUUCACGGUCACAUAUACAGUCGCUGACCAUAGCCUUAGAGCUAUAGCACAUAUACUUUAUGUAUGUUAUCAACCUCACAUCAUUUUUAUGGACUUAUAGUUUAAAUAAAACUUAUUGUUUUAUUAAAAAAUAUAAAUAUAUCCAAAUACGCAAUUAAACAAAUAAAAUUUACCAAAUUUAUAAAUCAUAAAUAUAAAAUACAUAAACCAUAAACAAAAGUUAUACGAUUCAUAAAUUAUAAAUAAAACAAAUAAUUUUUGAAGCGAAAAAAUAUAUUGACCAGAUUAUAUGUUUUAAAAUUUACUCUCGAUUUGUUAUAACAAAUGGGGAAGGAAAAUAUAAUAUAGACACAAUUGAUAUAGUGGUGUAGUGGUAGAGGAGAUUGUGCGCGCGGCGUGAGAGAUAUUGCGAGUUCAAAUCUUACUGAUCACAAAACAUGUGAAUUCCAUUCAAAAAUGUUGAAAAAUGAUAGAACAACAGGUAGGACAAUGUGUGAUGAUGGUUGGGGGCGUUGUUCCCCUAAUUAAAAAAUAUUUUCCUAUUUUUUGGAAUUUUUGCGAUUCUUAAUUUGACGAGUGCCAGAAAAAAGAACCCGUCAAAGAAUCAAAUAUUUGUCGAGUGUUAUUUGAUGAGUGUAACACUCGGUAAAAGUUUUGACGAGUGUAAAAAGGUCCUUGCCGAGGAUACUCGGCAAGAAAAUCCAGUCCAGUAGUGAUAUUAGGCUAUUUCGCUUACAAUUAGGCCAGAUGCUAUAGUUGGUGGUUAUAAGGUCGAUCACCCAGAGUGUAGUGUUAAGAUCAUUCAUUGGUUCAACGAAUAUAUGUACAAGAUACAAAAGUGCUUCUAGCCUACUACCUACUGAUUUACUGAACAAUAAUUCUAGCUCAUUACGUUUGUGCAAUCAAAACACACAACCAGACAACAACAAAAAAACUCUAGACCGUACUUUUUUGUUCACAUUGGGUUUAUGGUGGCGGCCAAAAUUGGAAGAACCUUCAACAUCAGUUUAUACUCCUAUCACAAGUGAUCUAAAAAUGUAUCAUCAGGAAAGGAAAAAACAUGUGUUAUUCAAUGAGCAACUGGAAAAUAAAGUAAGAUGGAUGAUAGAACUAUGAAAUCAUUUAGUUGGAUAUCUCUUGAUAAAAUUUAAAAGGAUUGGCUACAUAAAGUACAUGGUGGAUUCAAAUGACUGAGGUCCCAAAAGUUUGGAAUACAAGAUCAAUGAAUAAUAAAGAUUAUUCGAGGCUUCUCAAUAGAUAGAAUUUGUUGCCAUUUGUUGAUUUCUCUGAACAAUAAUUAUAUCUUCCAGUUUGAAGUGUUUUUUUUUGCAAAUGUGUGUGCAAUUGUUAAUAAAUAUUAGCAUUUAUGUAAAUGUAUUAUCUAAAUUUCAUGGUUGAUAAAUUGAAAGUGCAAUGCUAGUCAUUAACAUACUUUUGCAUGUUUGUCGGGAACCAUAAUUAGGGGUACCCCCAAGACUCCUAAACUCGGCUGGUAACCACCAUCAGCACAAGCUGCAAAGGCCUGAUGGGCGCAAUACAGGUCAAAGCUCCGUCCACUCUACGGACACGAUCUCGCCUCGCCCGAGCCCGGCCUCGGGCAGGAACAGUAGACCCAGGCGGAUUCACGCCUCGCCCGAGGUCCCCCUCAAGCAACGGGCGCACCUCCGACUCUUCCGAGGCCCGGCUCGGGCAGGCUUCGCAGUGAAGCAACCUUGGCCGGAUCGCCACACCAAUCGACCAUAUCGCAGGAGCAUUCAAUACAAGGAUCACCUGACACCUUAUCCUGACGCGCGUUCCUCAGUCGACAGGGCCGAAGUGACCACAGUCAUUUUGCCCCUCCACUGACUGAGCUGACAGGAAAACAGCGGCGCCUGCCCUGCUCCGACUGCUGUGCCACCCGCCAGGGUGAGGCUGACAGCUGCCAAGUCCAGCCUCAGGCGCCAUAGGAAGCUCCGCCUCGCCCGACCCCAGGGCUCGGACUCCACCUCGACCUCGGAAGACGGUCUCCACCUCGCCCGACCCCAGGGCUCGGACUCCACCUCGACCUCGGAAGACGGUCUCCGCCUCGCCCGACCCCAGGGCUCGGACUCCACCUCGACCUCGGAAGACGGUCUCCGCCUCGCCCGACCCCAGGGCUUGGACUCAGCCUCGACCUCGGAGGAGUCACCGCCUCGCUCGACCUCGGGCUCGGACCGACCACGCCGCAGGGGGGUACAUCAUUACCCUACCCCUAGCUAGCUCAGGCUACGGGGAACAAGACCGGUGUCCCAUCUGGCUCACCCCGGUAAACAAGUAAUGAUGGCACCCCGCGUGCUCCAUGACGAUGGCGGUUCUCAGCCCCCUACGGAAGCAAGGAGACGUCAGCAAGGAUCCGACAGCCUCGACAGCUGUACUUCUACAGGGUUUAAGUGCUCCUCCGACGGCGAUGACAUCACAUGAACAGGGCAGCAACACCUCUCUGACAGCCACGUCGGCAUGUACAUAGGGCUCUGGCUCCUCUCUGCUAGACACGUUAGCACAUUGCUACACCCCCCAUUGUACACCUGGGCCUUCUCCUUACAUCUAUAAAAGGAAGGUCCAGGGCCCUCGUACGAGAAGGUGGCCGCGCGGGAGGACGGGCUGACGGAUAGUGUCUCUCUCUCUCCCUCGCGAACGCUUGUAACCCCCUACUGCAAGCGCAUCCGCCCUGGGCGCAGGAUAACACGAGCCACGACUUCUCCCCCUUGUGUUCCAUCUCGCGCCGACCCAUCUGAGCUGGGACACGCAGCGACAAUUUACUUGUCGGUCCAGGGACCCCCGGGGUCAAAACGUCGACAGUUGGCGCGCCAGGUAGGGGACUGUUGCGUGUUGACGAACAGCUUCUCGUCAAGCUCCAGAUGGGUAGUCUCCAGCAACCUCUCCAGCCCGGGACGAUGCUCCGUUUCGGGAGUCUCGAGUUCAUGUCCCUCGACGGCAGCUACGACAUGGUACUCCUUCCUCCGCCGCGCGACAACGACAAUGGCGGCCGUCAGCCCGCCCGCCGGCGGCGGAAUCGACGACGUCUUCUCCGCGUGGCGGAAGAGCAGCAUCCAGGUCUGUCCCGUCACCUUCCCCGCCGACGGAGGAGGAGGCGGGGCAACCAUGGCCAAGCAGGAGGCGGCACCUCGUCAACUGUCGAGCGAGUCGACGACGUCGGCGCCCCAGCGGGGGACACGUCGGGCGUUGACCUCGCGUCUGAGACGAAGACGAGCGUCGUUUCCCCGCAACACGCCAACCCCAAGCAGACGGAUGACGCCAGCAUGCUCGCGAAGGACUUGCUGGGCGUUAGCCUCGUACCUGAGAUAACAGUGCAGUCCGUCCCUGACGCGACUUCGUCACCAUCCGUCGAUCAAGAGGUAGCGUCCGUUUUCCACCCUGUGCCUUUUAGAUUUAGCUUCGACCCACCAAGCGACCCCGCUUCGGUGGACGCUUUCAUAAAGGCAUAUCCUAACCUUCCGGGGUAUCAUAUGUGGUCAACCUAGGACCGACUGUCGGCCGUCUCGACCUACGGUCCCCCGAGUUCCGAGGAAGAUGACGAGCCCGACUCUGGUUGGGAUUUCUCCGGGCUCGAUAACCCCAGUGCCAUGCGAGACUUCAUGACUGCAUGUGACUACUGCCUCUCCGAUUACUCCGAUGAUGGCCACAGCCUUGACGACGAGGACUGUGGCCCAAGUCGCGAAUGUUUCCACGUCGAUCUAGGGGCUCUCGACGAAGGCAACCAUCUUGGUAUGCCGGAGGACGGCGAUCCCCCUAGGCCUGCGCCUCGCGUUGACAUCCUUCGGGAGCUAGCUGUGGUCCUAGUCCCUGCGGGGGGUCAGGACGCACAGCUCGAGCAAAUCCGCGAGAUGCAGGCCAGGCUCGACGAGGAAGUAGGACAACUUGUGCAGCUCCGGCAGAACAUCGGGCAGGGGUGGGCAGGUCGAGCACCAGCCGGAGAAGCGCGUCAUCUGGCCCAGGACGUCCAGCACCGCAUCGCCGACGAUGCCAGGGCAAGGCUGCCCCCGGCUUCCAGUGGGGUCGGCCAGAACCUGGCUGCAGCAGCAAUACUACUCCGAGCGAUGCCGGAACCAUCCACCACCGAGGGGCGGCAUAUCCAGGGAGAACUCAAGAAUCUCCUGGAGGAUGCCGCGGUCCGACGGGCCGAAAGCUCUGUCUCUCGAAGGCAGGGGUACCCCCCGGAGCAUCGCGCCGCGACUUCCCGAUUCAUGCGGAAAGCCUCAGUCCACACCGGGGGCACGCGGGAUGCAACGCCUGCAGCCCCAGGUCGCCUCGGCAAUGAGCACCACCGCCGCGACCGUCGAGCCCACCUCGACGAGAAGGUGCGCCGAGGCUACCACCCCAGGCGUGGGGGACACUAUGACAGCGGGGAGGAUCGGAGCCCCUCGCCCGAACCACCGGGUCCGCAAGCUUUCAGUCGGGCCAUACGACGGGCGCCGUUCCCGACCCGGUUCCGAACCCCGACUACCAUCACCAAGUACUCGGGGGAAACAAGGCCGGAACUGUGGCUCGCGGACUACCGGCUGGCCUGCCAGCUAGGUGGAACAGACGAUGACAACCUCAUCAUCCGCAACCUCCCCCUGUUCCUCUCCGACGCCGCCCGAGCCUGGCUGGAGCAUCUGCCUCUUGCGCAGAUCUCCAACUGGGACGACUUGGUCAAAGCCUUCGCCGGCAACUUCCAGGGCACAUACGUGCGCCCUGGGAACUCCUGGGAUCUCCGAAGCUGCCGCCAGCAGCCGGGAGAAUCCCUGCGGGACUACAUCCGGCGAUUUUCGAAACAGCGCACCGAGCUGCCCAACAUCACCGACUCAGAUGUCAUCGGCGCGUUCCUCGCCGGCACUACUUGUCGCGACCUGGUGAGCAAGAUGGGUCGCAAGACUCCCACCAGGGCGAGCGAGCUGAUGGACAUCGCCACCAAAUUCGCCUCUGGUCAGGAGGCGGUCGAGGCCAUCUUCCGGAAGGACAAGCAGCCUCAGGGGCGCCAGCAGGAAGACUUCCCCGAGGCGUCCGCUCAGCGCGGCAUCAAGAAGAAGGGCAAGAAGAAGUCGCAAGCGAAACGCGACGCCGCCGACGCAGACCUUGUCGCUGCCGCCGAGUACAGGAACCCUCGGAAGCCUCCCGGAGGCGCCAACCUGUUCGACAAGAUGCUCAAGGAGUCGUGCCCCUAUCAUCAGGGUCCCGUCAAGCACACCCUUGAGGAGUGUGUCAUGCUUCGGCGCUACUUCCACAAGGCCGGGCCCCCGGCAGAAGGUGGCAGAGGCCACGACAACGACAAGAAGAAGGGCCACAAGGCAGAGGAGUUCCCCGAGGUCCACGACUGCUUCAUGAUCUACGGUGGGCAAGUGGCGAACGCCUCGGCUCGGCACCGCAAGCGAGAGCGCCGCGAGGUCUGCUCGGUGAAGGUGGCGGCGCCAGUCUACCUAGACUGGUCCGACAAGCCCAUCACUUUCGACCAAGGCGACCACCCCGACCGCGUGUCGAGCCCAGGGAAGUACCCACUCGUUGUCGAUCCCGUCGUCGGCAACAUCAGGCUUACCAAGGUCCUCAUGGACGGAGGCAGUAGCCUCAACAUCAUCUACGCCGAGACCCUCGGGCUCUUGCAGAUCGAUCUGUCCGCGAUCCGAGCCGAUACGACGCCCUUUCACGGGAUCAUCCCCGGGAAGCGCGUCCAACCCCUUGGGCAACUCGAUCUACCCGUCUUCUUUGGGACUCCCUCCAACUUCCGAAAGGAAACCCUCAUGUUCGAGGUGGUCGGGUUCUGAGGAACCUACCAUGCAGUGCUGGGGAGACCAUGCUACGCCAAGUUCAUGGUCGUCCCUAACUACACCUACCUCAAGCUCAAGAUGUCGGGCCCCAACGGGGUCAUCAUCGUCGGAUCCACGUACCGACACGCGUACGAAUGCGACGUGGAGUGCGUGGAAUACGCUGAGGCCUUCGCCGAAUCCGAGGCCCUCAUCACCGACCUGGAGAGCCUCUCCAAGGAGGUGCCAGAUGCGAAGCGCCACGCCGGCAACUUUGAGCCAGCAGAGGCGGUUAAGUUCGUCCCUCUCGACCCCAGCAACGACGCCUCCAAGCAAGUCCGGAUGGACUCCGAGCUCGACCCCAAAUAGGAAGCCGUGCUUGUCGACUUUCUUCGCGCAAACGCCGAGGUUUUUGCGUGGAGUCCCUCGGACAUGCCUGACAUAUCGAGGGAUGUCGCCGAGCACUCGCUGGAUAUCCGAGCUGGAGCCCGACCCGUGAAGCAGCCUCUGCGCCGAUUCGACGAAGAAAAGCGUAGAGCCAUAGGCGAGGAGAUCCACAAGCUGAUGGCUGCAGGGUUCAUCAAAGAGGUAUUCCAUCCCGAAUGGCUAGCCAACCCUGUGCUUGUGAAAAAGAAAGGUGGGAAAUGGAGGAUGUGUGUAGACUACACUGGUCUAAACAAAGCAUGUCUGAAAGUUCCCUACCCUCUGUCUCACAUCGAUCAAAUCGUGGAUUCCACUGCUGGGUGCGAAACCCUGUCGUUCCUCGAUGCCUACUCAGGGUAUCACCAAAUCAGGAUGAAAGAGUUCGACUAGCUCACGACCUCUUUCAUCACACCUUUGGCUUGUACUGCUACAUUACUAUGCCAUUCGGUUUGAGGAACACAGGUGUGACAUACCAAAGGUGCAUGAACCACGUGUUCGGAGAGCACAUUGGCCGAACGGUCGAGGCUUACGUCGAUGACAUCAUAGUCAAGACGAGGAAAGCCUCCGACCUCCUCACUGACCUUGAAACGACAUUCAAGUGUCUCAAGGCGAAAGGCGUAAAACUCAAUCCCGAGAAGUGUGUCUUCGGAGUCCCCCAAGGCAUGCUCCUGGGGUUCACCGUCUCCGAGCGGGGCAUCGAGGCCAACCCGGAGAAAAAUCGCGGCCAUCACCGACAUGGGACCUAUCAAGGACUUGAAAGGAGUACAGAGGGUCAUGGGAUGCCUUGCAGUUCUGAGCCGCUUCAUCUCGCGCCUCGGUGAAAGAGGCCUGCCUCUGUACCGCCUUUUAAGAAAGACCGAGCGCUUCACUUGGACCCUCGAGGCCAAGGAAGCCCUCGGAAACUUAAAGGCGCUCCUUACAAGCGCGCCCAUCCUGGUGCCCCCCGCUACUGGAGAAGCCCUCUUGAUCUACGUAGCCACAACCACUCAGGUGGUCAGCGCCGCGAUUGUAGUCGAGAGACGAGAAGAAGGACAUGUAUUGCCCGUACAGAGGCCGAUCUACUUCAUCAGUGAGGUACUGUCCGAGACCAAAAUCUGCUAGCCGCAAAUUCAGAAGCUACUGUACGCGGUAAUCCUGAUGCGGCGAAAGUUGCGACACUACUUCGAGUCUCAUCCGGUGAUUGUGGUGUCAUCCUUCCCCCUGGGGGAGAUCAUCCAGUGCCGAGAGGCCUCGGGUAGGAUUGCAAAGUGGGCGGUGGAGAUCAUGGGCGAGACAAUCUCGUUCGCCCCUCGGAAGGCCAUCAAGUCCCAAGUCUUGGCGGACUUUGUGGCUGAAUGGGUCGACACCCAGCUUCCAGCAGCUCCGAUCCAACCGGAACUUUGGACCAUGUUUUUAGACGGGUCGCUGAUGAAAACAGGAGCGGGCGCGGGCCUCCUCUUCAUCUCACCCCUCGGGAAGCACCUCCGCUACGUGCUGCGCCUCCAUUUCCCGGCGUCAAACAAUGUGGCCGAGUACGAGGCUCUCGUUAACGGGUUGCGCAUCGCCAUCGAGCUAGGGGUUCGGCGCCUCGAUGCUCGUGGCGACUCGCAGCUUGUCAUCGACCAAGUCAUGAAGAACUCCCUUUGCCGCGACCCGAAGAUGGAAGCCUACUGCGACGAGGUUCGACGCCUGGAAGACAAGUUCUACGGGCUCGAGCUCAACCACGUCGCUCGACGAUACAACGAGACUGCGGACGAGCUGGCUAAAAUAGCCUCGGGGCGGACAACGGUUCCCCCGGACGUCUUCUCCCGAGACCUACAUCAACCCUCCGUCAAGACCGACGACACGCCCGAGCCCGAGGAGGCCUCAGCCUAGCCCGAGGCACCCUCGGCCGCCGAGGGUGAGGCACUGCGCGUCGAGGAAGAGCGGAAUGGGGUCACGCCUAAUCGAAACUGGCAGACCCCAUACCUGCAAUAUCUCCAUUGAGGAGAGCUACCCCUCGACAGAGCCGAAGCUCGGCGACUGGCGCGGCGCGCCAGGUCGUUCGUCUUGCUGGGUGAAGAAAAGGAGCUCUACCACCGCACCCCCUCAGGCAUCCUCCAGCGAUGCAUAUCCAUCGCCGAAGGUCAGGAGCUAUUGCAAGAAAUACAAUCGGGGGAUUGCGGUCAUCACGCAGCACCUCGAGCCCUCAUUGGAAACGCCUUCCGACAAGGUUUCUACUGGCCAACCGUGGUGGCCGACGCCACUAGGAUUGUACGCACCUGCCAAGGGUGUCAAUUCUACGCAAGGCAGACACAUCUGUUCGCUCAGGCCCUGCAAACAAUACCCAUCACCUGGUCGUUUGCUGUGUGGGGUCUGGACCUCGUCGGUCCCUUGUAGAAGGCACCCGGGGGCUUCACGCACCUGCUGGUCGCUAUCGACAAAUUCUCCAAGUGGAUUGAGGUCCGACCCCUAAACAACAUCAGGUCCGAACAGGUGGUGGCGUUCUUCACCAACAUCAUCCAUCGCUUUGGGGUCCCGAACUCCAUCAUCACCGACAACGGCACCCAGUUCACUGGCAGAAAGUUCCUGGACUUCUGCGAGGACCACCACAUCCGGGUGGACUGGGCCGCCGUAGCUCACCCCAUGACGAAUGGGCAGGUAGAGCGUGCCAACGACAUGAUUCUGCAGGGACUCAAGCCGAGGAUCUACAAUGACCUCAACAAGUUCGGCAGGCGAUGGAUGAAGGAACUCCCCUCGAUGGUCUAGAGUCUGAGGACGACGCCAAGCCGAGCCACGGGCUUCACGUCGUUCUUUCUAGUCUAUGGGGCCGAGGCUAUCUUGCCCACAGACUUAGAAUAUGGCUCCCCGAGGACAAGGACGUACGACUACCAAAGCAACCAGACCAACCGAGAAGACUCACUGGACCAGCUGGAAGAGGCUCGAGACAUGGCCUUACUACACUCGACAAGGUAUCAGCAGUCUCUGCGACGCUACCACACCCGAGGGGUUCGGUCCCGAGACCUCCAGGUGGGGGACUUGGUGCUUCGGCUACGACAAGACGCCCGAGGGCGUCAUAAGCUCACACCUCCCUGAGAAGGGCCGUUCAUCAUCGCCAAGAUUUUGAAGCCCGGAACAUACAAGCUGGCCAACAGUCAAGGCGAGGUCUACAACAACGCUUGGAACAUCCGACAGCUACGUCGUUUUUACCCUUAAGAUGUUUUCAAGUCGUUCACAUACCUCGUUCUCUUUACAUACGCAAAAAGAGUCUAACCGUCAAGGAAGGGUCAACCUUGCCUCAGCAAAGCCCGACCCUCCCUCGGGGGCUAAAAAGGGGGGAACCCCCUCUGCGUCAAAAUUUUCCUCGGAAAAAGUCUUUCUGUCAGAACGUCUUUCGCGCUUUUCGACUACUUUGAUAGUGGAAUCCCGAAAAUGACGGAGUACACGUAAGCGGCAAGGCCGACCGAGCCGAGGGACUCCUACGCCUCCGGGAUACGGAUACCUCACUCAUCACCUUCUGCGAUAAGUAACUCUCGCUCGGAUAAGCGAUUCUGCUGCCGAACAAGUCUUAACGCUCAAAAACCUUCCUAGUAGAACGAUUUUUCGUGCCUUCUCGACUGUAUCGAUAACAAAAUCCUACGGACGAGUAAGAGUACACGUAAGCGGCAAGGCCGACCGAGCCGAGGAACUCCUACGCCUCCGGGAUACGGAUACCUCACUCAUCGCCUUCCGUAAAAAGUAACUCUCGCUCGGAUAAACGAUUCUGCUGCCGACGAACAAGUCCUGAUACUCGAAACAAGGGGAAAAGAAACGCAGCUCUUUAACACGACGAUGAUAUGUUUGGGCCUCGACGGCCGCAAAAAACAUACGCACACUACAGAUAAACUGUUCCUGUAGGUUCAGACAUCAGUAGGGGGAGCAGCAGCACCCUCGACAUCGACUCCACCUUCGGCGGAAUCCGACCCGGCCUCGGACAGCAACACGGUCGGAGGAUCUCCACCUCGAAGGAAUAUGUCAACACCGUGCCUGGGCCAUCGCCGCCAGGGUCUUCUCCAGGAACCCGGCCUGAGUAGACGGCUCGACCGGCCGCUUCAUAGCCUCAGCCAGCUGACCCCCGAGGACAUCAGCCCGGCUCAUGGCCUCGGCAGCCCGACUUCAGGGUUGGUCCCGCCAGUGGACGACCUGGCUAGGUUCCAGCCGCCGCUGCUACGCCUCCUCAGCCUGGGAAGUCCCCUGCUUCUGGGCCGACGAAGUUUCUUCUCCAGCCGACUCCGCCUCUAUCCACGCUCACACCGUUGCCUUCGGCUCCGGCUCAUCGCAGAGCGACCGAGGGUUUUCUUUAACUGUGCAAGAGAAGCCUCGGGUGGCAAGGUCGGUCGAGCCGAGGGACUCCUACGCCUCCGGGAUACGGAUAUCUCACUCGUCACCUUCCGCACGGGGCAACUCACACUUGGUUAAGCGGUCCAGCUAGCCGACAGGCGAGUCCUGGUGCCCGAAAUGAGGAAGAAACACAGUAUUGCACUCAAAUACCUAGAUGUUCAGGCCCCGACAGCCACAAUGAACAGACACCGGCACUCAAGGUGCCAUUACAAAUGGAACUCCGGUUCCACUCCCGCGGGUAUGAACAACCUCCACAUCGGAGAGCCUACGAGACGACAAACUCCGGGUGACUCGUCGGCGACCUCUGCAGCAGCAGCGAUGGUCCCAGGGCGGACGCUAUUGCUGGAAGGCUCUCGUUCGCGUCCCCACUCGAGGGACGAGAACCAGACAUUAAAGCCAAAGAGCCGGAGGUCGGUCCGCGGGUGGCGCUGACGGUCUCAUCGGUGGAGAAGCUUUCUCCAGCUGCCACCACCUCAGCACCGACGGCGGCGUCCACCUGCCCACCAACACCGCACCAGCGAGCGCCGGCCGCCCCAAAGCGCACUGGCAGGUCCUCACUCCCGUCCUCGCCACAAAAACGAGAAUGGGACUGUCCCAGAACACGAGUGCCGCCCUCGCGGCGUACGACGUGUUGUGAGACCCCCUGGUGCGGCUAGCCACCGUCGCCCGGACAGAGGGCGGAAUGCUGCACCCUGGCUGGGUAGCAGCAGUUCGCCUUCCCCGGCAUGGCUGGAGGAUGCCUCCUCCACAGAGUUGCAGGAUGGUUUCCACCCCCAAAAGCCGAAGGAAGAAGCGGAACGCCAGCCCACGCGAAGGCAGGCCCCGGCUCGCCUCGCCCUCCUCCCCAGCAAGGAUGAUGAAGAUCCUUGAAGCUGAGGGCGGGGCAGAGGCCGCAACCCGGCUUGCUUCUCCCCACCAGCUAACUGGUGGUCACCAUCUCGGGUGACCAUUGGUGAGGGGAUGCAGCCGGGCUGCCUGAUGAAAAUCCUUGAAGCCAAGCGAUGGCUGAAAGGUACCAACCUCCACGAGGUUGCGCUCCUCCCACAAUGAGACGAAGACAACACGGGCGCUCCCCAUCCGGGGGCUCGGAAGGCGGAAGGACACAAUGCAUGAGGAGAGUGCGAAGGCGUGGCUACCACCCAGGGGGUCGAUCCCUUUUUAAAGGCGACUCUCCUCACUCGCGUCCUCAGGCGUCGCGGACUAAGUCUUCACCAACGCGCUCCAAGGUCCUCCCCCUACGACACGGGGGCUGGGUCCCACACGCCAUGCAAGCUGGCCGGGACAAAAGAAGCCAAACUGCCGCGCGCAGAGCGUGUAACUGCCCAGCGGUUACAAGCACUCCUCCGCUUUCGCCCAAACCAGCGGGUGAAAGGGCGGACCACCAUGCAGGCGGCAUGCAACUGCACCAAGGGGAUGCACCCUUUCGACUUCGACGCAUCCAGCGUGGCGGCCCAGGCCCACACGUCAUGUAACUGGCGCGCUGGUUGCUACAUGCGAAAAACUGCACCGCCACUUACGCCAAUGCCGCGCCUCCUCGACUACGGAACCGGUGCCGCGACUCGAGGCAACUCUGCGCAUGGCCCAACAGUGCCAACCAAGCACAUCGGUCACAGGUCAGUCAGCCACGGGAAAAGGCACGACGGUCGAUAUGGCCAAAAGUGGGCCGACAGUAAUGGCGGCGGCAGGCGGGCGGAAGCAGCAGUCAAAUCGUCUGCAGGCUCACGUCCCCUCCUAGGGCAGCAGGGGAGCCCUCUCCCACGGCAUGAAGACGACGCGCCCGUGUUCCGUCCCUCGAACGGCUCACACAACGGCUGCCCCGCGAACCACUCAUCCCGCCGCAUUGACUCCGCGGCAGGGCAGGCGACACCUUUGGCAGGCGAAGCGGGCGACGCUUCACCUCCGCCAUGAUGACCGCGUCAAAAAAGGUGUGCCACGUCGUUCAAUUUUGUAUCCUUUUCCUCUUCCCCUUUCUCUCUCUUGCUAUAGGGACCGGGAAAGGGGACACUCCGAAAGGGAUCCUUCUCUGCGAAGGAAGCGGGCCCCGAGCCCUCCUACUGAUCAGAGGUUCGAAGGCUGGCCCCUCGGAAGGGUUCGACAGCCGCCUCAGAGCACUCGAGCUCCGCGCCCACUACUGGUCAGAGGUUCGAAGGCUGGCCCCUCGGAAGGGUUCGACAGUCGCCUCAGGCCACUCGGGCUCCACGCCCACUACUGAUCAGGGGUUCGAAGGCUGCCCCCCCCCGCGAAGGGUUCGACAGCCGCCUCAGAACACGCGGAGCGAGGGAUGACUCUGGGUACGUUCGAUACAUGGUCUAGGCUCAGGCUACGCUCCCGAGGUACCCUAGGACAUUUCUGAGACCAGCAGGAGCGAUUCUGUAACGGAAUCCCAUCAGAGGGAGGCAUCGAGCCCUCGGACCCUAUCAAACGGGACCGGGUCCAGCAAAUCACCUGCAGGUACUUUUGGAGCGCGCCUCUGGGCCACUAGCCGACCCUUAUCGAACGGGGCACGGGCGUCCACUCGGAUCACUCGUUAGCAACUCACUGGAGACACCAUGUCCGGCGCCCUCCGAGGGCAACAUGGCGCUUUCCCCUCCUCCUCCUUGCGGAAAGGCGACGAAGGGGCGUAUGAUAAAAGCUGAGUCAGUCCUUGAUCGUCCUCUCGCUCUGUGCAGAGGCUCGGGGGCUGCUCUCGCAAACCCGGCUCCGGCCAAACCGUUGACGGUGUCAACAUACCAGCCUGAGAACUCGGAACCUGACCAUGCACCCGGGCUACGACCAGUUCGCAUGAGGGAACAACCAGACCGGCUGAGGCGUCACGAAAGGCACUAAGACCUCGGAGGAGUCAGACCACUCCUCCGAGGCCUCGGGGGCUACACCCGGCGGGUGCGCUCGCGCGCACCCACCUGAACGAAAUGCAACCGAGAAAGGCCGGUCCCCUUGCAAAAAAGUGCGAUAAAGCCUCCAAGCGAGUACCAACACUCCCUUUGAGGCUCGGGGGCUACUGUCGGGGACGAUACUUAGGGGUACCCCCAAGACUCCUAAACUCGGCUGGUAACCACCAUCAGCACAAGCUGCAAAGGUCUAAUGGGCGCAAUACAGGUCAAAGCUCUGUCCACUCCAGGGACACGAUCUCGCCUCGCUCGAGCCCAGCCUCGGGCAGGAACAGUAGACCCAGGCGGAUUCACACCUCGCCCAAGGGCCCCCUCAAGCAACGGGCGCACCUCCGACUCUUCCGAGGCCCGGCUCGGGCAAGCUUCGCAGUGAAGCAACCUUGGCCGGAUCGCCAUGCCAACCGACCAUAUCGCUGGAGCAUUCAAUGCAAGGAUCACCUGACACCUUAUCCUGACGCGUGUUCCUCAGUCGACAGGGCCGAAGUGACCGCAGUCAUUUCGCCCCUCCACUGACUAAGCUGACAGGAAAACAGCGUCGCCUGCCCUGCUCUGACUGCUGUGCCACCCACCAGGGUGAGGCUGACAGCUGCCAAGUCCAGCCUCAGGCGCCAUAGGAAGCUCCGCCUCGCCUGACCCCAGGGCUCGGACUCCACCUCGACCUCGGAAGACGGUCUCCGCCUCGCCCGACCCCAGGGCUUGGACUCAGCCUCAACCUCGGAGGAGUCACCGCCUCGCCCGACCUCGGGCUCGGACCGACCAUGCCGCAGGGGGGUACAUCAUUACCCUACCCCUAGCUAGCUCAGGCUACGGGGAACAAGACCGGCGUCCCAUCUGGCUCGCCCCGGUAAACAAGUAAUGAUGGCACCCCGCGUGCUCCAUGACGACGGUGGUUCUCAGCCCCCUACAGAAGCAAGGAGACGUCAGCAAGGAUCCGACAGCCCCGACAGCUGUACUUCUACAGGGUUUAAGUGCUCCUCCGACGGCCACAACAUCACAUGAAUAGGGCAGCAACACCUCUCCGACAGCCACGUCGGCAUGUACAUAGGGCUCUAGCUCCUCUCUGCUAGACACGUUAGCACAUUGCUACACCCCCCAUUGUACACCUAGGCCUUCUCCUUACAUCUAUAAAAGGAAGGUCCAGGGCCCUCGUACGAGAAGGUGGCCGCGCGGGAGGACGGGCUGACGGACAGUCUCUCUCUCUCUCUCCCUCACGAACGCUUGUAACCCCCUACUGCAAGCGCAUCCGCCCUGGGCGCAGGAUAACACGAGACGCGGCUUCUCCCCCUUGUGUUCCAUCUCGCGCCGACCCAUCUGGGCUAGGACAUGCAGCGACAAUUUACUCGUCGGUCCAGGGACCCCCCGGGGUCGAAACGCCGACAAUGUUAUUGCGUUAAUUUUUCAUGUUAGAAGCAUAUGAUGAUACAUUUAUCCUAUAGUGACGACUUAACGCUUGCUCUUAUACCAAAUGUUGGAAAAGUGAAGUGAUCCUAACCUUCGUACAGACUUAUGAGAAGCGCAACCAAAGUGAUGCAUUUCUUUUGUGAACCAUUAUUUACACUACUCCACGGAGUCCUCCACUUGACAUAAGCUAAUACCAACAACACUAUAUGAGAACCUACCUGUUUAUUCACUGUAACAAUUUUGCAUAGUGCUCACUUCCGGCUAGCCUACCACAUUCUAAUUGUGUCACACUACCAUGUUAUUACUAGCAUGUCAUGUAACUCUUUGUAGUGGCUAACUAUGUCAUCUACAAGUGGUUCCUACUUAGUUUAUAAUUAACAUGCUACUGGGUUAUAAGACUUUGUGGCUUAUAUAUGUGUUGCUAUAUAUUCAUAUUCUAUACCAUUUCUACAUAUAUUUUAAUUCAAGAAUCUUUUGGUAUCAGUCUAAUUAAUCUGUUAGUGUAGAUUUUUAGAAGAAGAAAAAACUGACACUAAAGUUGAACCUUUAGUUUUGUUUAUAGCUAAUAAUUGCUACAAGUCUUUACGGGACCAUGUACUCGAUAAAGAUCGAUGUUUUUAGUCCUAUCAGAUUCUUCAGUGUUCUUGAUUAUGCAUUGCGAUGAUCUGCUGCAUUGGAAUGAGCACGCAAGGAAAAAAGACGUGGGGAACACUGAAAGUCGCCUAGAGGGGGGGUGAAUAGCCGGAAUCUGAUAUUUACAAACUUAAGCACACACUACAAGCCAGGGUUAGCGUUAGAAUUAAAUUCGAGUCCGAAAGAGAGAGAAAACAAAUCAACAAAGAAAUAAAGCGGAUGAACACGAUGAUUUGUUUUACCGAGGUUCGGUUCUUGCAAACCUACUCCCCGUUGAGGUGGUCACAAAGACCGGGUCUCUUUCAACCCUUUUCCCUCUCUCAAACGGUCACUUAGACCGAGUGAGCCUUUCUCUUCAAUCAAAUGGGACACUUAGUCCACUAAAAGGACCACCACAACUUGGUGUCUCUUGUUUUGAUUACAAAUGAGUUGGAAACAAGAAUAGAGUAAGAAAAAAGCGAUCCAAGCGCAAGAGCUCAAAAGAUCACAAAAGUCUCUCUCUCUAGUCACUAAUUUAUUUGGAGUGAUUCCGGACUUGGGAGAGGAUUUGAUCUCUUUGUUUGUGUCUUGGAGUGAAGUCUAGAGCUCUUGUAUGAGGUUUGAUGGCUGAAAACUUGGAUGCAUUGAAGUGUGGUGGUUGGGGGUAUUUAUAGCGCCAACCUACAAAAUGGUCGUUGGUGAAGGCUACUGUCGUAUGACGCACCGGACAGUCCGGUGCGCCAUCGGACACUGUCCGGUGCGCCAGCCACGUCACCCGACUGUUAUGGUUCGACCGUUGGAGCUUCUGGCAUGUGGGCCACUGGACAGUCCGGUGGAGCACCGGACAGACACCGUUCACUGUCCGGUGCGCCAUCUGAUGCCUGCUCUGACUCUGCACGCGCAGGCGCGUACUGUAGUGUUUCACCGUUCCUUUGCAGACGACUAUUGGCGCUGUUUAGCCGUUACUCCGCUGGCACACCGGAUAGUCCGGUGCUACACCAGACAGUUCGGUGAAUUAUAUCGGAAUUAUGUCGGAGUGGCUCCCAGAAUUCCCGAAGCUAGCGAGUUGGAGGGAAUCCACCCUAGCACACUGGGCAGUCCGGUGCGCCAGACCAGGGCAGCCUUCGGUUGUCUUUUGCUCUUUUUAUUUGAACUCUUUCUUGGACUUUUUAUUGGUUUGUGUUGAACCUUUGGCACCUGUAGAACUUACAAUCUAGAGCAAACUAGUUAGUCCAAUUGUUUGUGUUGGGCAACUCAACCACCAAAAUCAUUUAGGAAAAGGUGUAAGCAUGUUUCCCUUUCAAUCUCCCCCUUUUUGGUGAUUGAUGCCAACACAAAACAAAGCAAAUAUAUAAGUGCAGAAUUGAACUAGUUUGCAUAAUAUAAGUGCAAAGGUUACUUGGAAUUAAACCAAUAUACAUUUCAUAAGAUAUGCAUGGAUGCUUUCUUCUAUAUUAAUAUUUUGGACCACACUUGCACCACUUGUUUUGUUUUUGCAAAAUCUUUUGGAAAUUCUUUUUAAAGUCUUUUUGCAAAUAGUCAAAGGUAAAUGAUUAAGAUUUUGAGAAGCAUUUUCAAGAUUUGAAAUUUUCUCCCCUGUUUCAAAUGCUUUUCCUUUGACUAAACAAAAACUCCCCCUUAAUGAAAUUCUCCUCUUAGUGUUCAAGAGGGUUUUAGAUAUUAAUUUUGAAAGGGGUCAUACUAAUUUGAAAUUAUAUCAAAAAUAAGAUACCAAUUGAAAAACUUCUUUAAAUUCAAAUUGAGAUACUAUAUUUUUGAAAUUGGUGGUGGUGCGGUCCUUUUGCUUUGGGCUAAUACUUUCUCCCCCUUUGGCAUGAAUCGCCAAAAACGGAUACUUGUGAGUGAAAUAUAAGCCCUUUUACUGUCUCUCCCUUUGGUAAAUAAUAUAGGAGUGAAGAUUAUACCAACUUGGAGAGCGAUGCAGAGUGUUGGCGAAGGAUGAAUAUCUGGAGUGGAGUGGAAGCCUUGUCUUCGCCGAAGACUCCAUUUCCCUUUCAAUCUAUGACUUGGUAUGAAAUACACUUGACAAACACAUUAGUCAUAUCACAUGAAAGAGAUAUGAUCAAAGGUAUAUAAAUGAGCUAUGUGUGCAAGGAAUCAAUCAAAGUUCCUAGAAUCAAGAAUGUUUAGCUCAUGCCUAAGUUUGGUAAAAGUUUUCUCAUCUAAUGGCUUGGUAAAGAUAUCGGCUAAUUGUUCUUUGGUGCUAACAUAUGCAAUCUCGAUAUCCCCCCUUUGUUGGUGAUCCCUCAAAAAGUGAUACCGAAUGGCUAUGUGCUUAGUGUGGCUGUGCUCAACGGGAUUAUCCGCCAUGCGGAUUGCACUCUCAUUAUCACAUAGGAGAGGAACUUUGGUUAAUUUGUAACCAUAGUCCCUAAGGGUUUGCCUCACCCAAAGCAAUUGUGCGCAACAAUGGCCUGCGGCAAUGUACUCGGCUUCGGCGGUAGAAAGAGCUACAGAAUUUUGUUUCUUAGAAGCCCAAGACACCAGGGAUCUUCCCAAGAACUGACAAGUCCCUGAUGUGCUCUUUCUAUCAAUCUUACACCAUGCCUAAUCAGCAUCUGAAUAUCCAAUUAAAUCAAAAGUGGAUCCCUUGGGGUACCAAAGGCCAAACUUAGGUGUAUGAACUAAAUAUCUCAAGAUUCAUUUUACGGCCCUAAGGUGAACUUCUUUAGGAUCGGCUUGGAAUCUUGCACACAUGCAUAUGGAAAGCAUAAUAUCCGGUCGAGAUGCACAUAAAUAAAGUAGAGAUCCUAUCAUCGACCGAUAUACCUUUUGAUCUAUGGAUUUACCUCCCGUGUCGAGGUCGAGAUGCCCAUUGGUUCCCAUGGGUGUCUUGAUGGGCUUAGCAUCCUUCAUCCCAAACUUGGUGAGUAUGUCUUGAAUGUACUUGGUUUGGCUGAUGAAGGUGCCCUCUUGGAGUUGCUUGACUUGAAAUCCUAGAAAAUACUUCAACUCCCCCAUCAUAGACAUCUCGAAUUUUUGAACCAUGAUCCUACAAAACUCUUCACAAGUAGAUUUGUUAGUAGACCCAAAUAUAAUAUCAUCAACAUAAAUUUGGCAUACAAACAAAUCAUUUGCAAUUGUCUUAGUAAAGAGAGUAGGAUCGGCUUUUCUGACUUUGAAGCCAUUGGCGAUAAGAAAAUCUCUUAGGCAUUCAUACCAUGCUCUUGGAGCUUGCUUGAGUCCAUAAAGCGCCUUAGAGAGUUUAUAAACAUGGCUAGGGUACUCACUAUCUUCAAAGUCGGGAGGUUGCUCAACAUAGACCUCCUCCUUGAUUGGUCCAUUGAGGAAGGCACUCUUCACGUCCAUUUGGUAAAGCUUAAAGCCAUGGUAAGUAGCAUAGGCAAGUAAUAUGCGAAUUGACUCCAGCCUAGCUACGGGUGCAAAGGUUUCACCGAAAUCCAAACCUUCGACUUGUGAAUAUCUCUUGGCCACAAGUCGGGCUUUGUUCCUUGUCACCACACCAUGCUCGUCUUGCUUGUUGCAAAAAACCCACUUGGUUCCUACAACAUUUUGGUUAGGACGUGGAACUAAAUGCCAGACUUCAUUCCUAGCGAAGUUGUUGAGUUCCUCUUGCAUCGCCAACACCCAAUCUGAAUCCCUUAAUGUGUCUUCUAUCCUGUAUGGCUCAAUAGAAGACACAAAGGAGUAAUGUUCACAAAAAUGAGCAACACGAGAUCAAGUGGUUACCCCUUUUGAAUAUUGCCGAGGAUGGUGUUCACGGGGUGAUCUCGUUGUAUUGCUUGGUGGACUCUUGGGUGAGGCGGUCUUGGACCAUCAUCAUCUUCCUUGUCUUGAUCAUUUACAUCCCCCCCCCCUUGAUCAUUGUCCUCCUCUUGAGGUGGCUCCUCUUGAUCUUCAUCUUCAUCAUCUUGAGCUUGAUCCUCAUCUUAGGUUGGUGGAGAUGCUUGCAUGGAGGAAGAUGGUUGAUCUUGUGCAUGUGGAGGCUCUUCGGAUUCCUUAGGACAUACAUCCCCAAUGGACAUGUUCCUUCGCGCGACGCAUGGAGCUUCUUCAUCAUCUAGCUCAUCAAGAUCAACUUGCUCUACUUGAGAGCCGUUAGUCUCAUCAAACACAAUGUCACAAGAAACUUCAACUAGUCCAGUGGACUUGUUAAAGACUCUAUAUGCCCUUGUGUUUGAGUCAUAACCAAGUAAAAAGCCUUAUACAGCCUUAAAAGCAAAUUUAGACUUUCUACCUCUUUUAACAAGAAUAAAGCAUUUGCUACCAAAGACUCUAAAAUAUGAAACAUCGGGCUUUUUACCGGUUAGGAGUUCAUAUGAUGUCUUCUUGAGGAUUCGGUGAAGGUAGAGACGGUUGAUGGCGUAGCAAGCGAUGUUGAUUGCUUCCGCCCAAAACCGGUCCGAAGUCUUGUACUCAUCAAGCAUGGUCCUCGCCAUGUCAAGUAGAGUUCUAUUCUUCCUCUCCACUACACCAUUUUGUUGUGGCAUGUAGGGAGAAGAUAACUCAUGCUUGAUGCCCUCAUCCUCAAGGAAGCCUUCUAUUUGUGAGUUCUUGAACUCCAUCCCAUUGUCGCUUCUAAUCUUUUUGAUCCUCAAGCCAAACUCAUUUUGAGCCCGUCUCAAUAAUCCCUUUAAGGUCUCUUGGGUUUGAGAUUUUUCCUGCAAAAAGAACACCCAAGUGAAGCGAGAAUAAUCAUCCACAAUAACUAGACAGUACUUACUCCCGUCGAUGCUUAUGUAAGCUAUCGGGCCGAAUAGGUCCAUGUGGAGUAGCUCAAGUGGCCUGUCAGUCGUCAUGAUGUUCUUGUGUGGAUGAUGAACACCAACUUGCUUCCCUGCUUGACAAGCGCUACAAACCCUGACUUUCUCAAAAUGAACAUUUGUUAGUCCCAAAAUGUGUUCUCCCUUUAGAAGCUUAUGAAGAUUCUUCAUUCCAACGUGGGCUAGUCGGCGAUGCCAGAGCCAACCCAUGUUAGUCUUAGCAAUUAAGCAAGUGUCGAGUUCAGCUCUAUUAAAAUCAACUAAGUAUAGCUGACCCUCUAACACUCCCUUAAAUGCUACUGAAUCAUCACUUCUUAUAAAGACAGUAACACCUAUAUCCUUAAAUAGACAAUUGUAGCCCAUUUUACAUAAUUGAGAAACUGAAAGCAAGUUAUAGUCUAAAGAAUCUACAAGAAAAACAUUAGAAAUAGAAUGGUCAAGAGAUAUAGCAAUUUUACCAAGUCCUUUGACCAAACCUUGAUUUCCAUCCCCGAAUGUGAUAGCUCUUUGGGGAUCAUGGUUUUUCUCAUAGGAGGAGAACAUCCUUUUCUCUCCUGUCAUGUGAUUUGUGCACCCGCUAUCAAUUAUCCAACUUGAGCCCCCGGAUGCAUAAACCUACAAAACAAACUUAGGCCUUGUUCUUAGGUACCCAAACGGUCUUGAGUCCUUUUACAUUAGAAACAAGCACCUUGGGUACCCAAACACAAGUCUUUGAUCCCUUGUGUUUGGCCCCAACAUAUUUGGCAACUACUUUGCCUGAUUUGUUAGUGAGCACAUUAGAAGCAUCAAAAGUCUUAAAUGAAAUAUUAGGUUCAUUUGAUGCUAUUGGAGAUUUCUUUUUAGGCAAUUUAACAUGGGUUGAUUGUCUAGAGCUAGAUGCCUCACUCUUAUACAUAAAAGCAUGAUUAGAGCCAGAGUGAGACUUCCUAGAGUGAAUUCUCCUAAUUUUGUGCUCGGGAUAACCAGCAGGGUAUAAAAUGUAGCCAUCGUUAUCCUGAGCCAUGGGAGCUUUGCCCUUAACAAAAUUGGAUAAUUUCUUAGGGGCAUUGAGUUUGACAUUGCCUCCUUGUUGGAAGCCAAUGCCAUCCUUAAUGCCAGGGCAUCUCCCACUAUAGAGCAUGCUUCUAGCAAAUUAAAAUUUUUCAUUUUCUAAGUCAUGCUCAUGAAUCUUAGCACUAAGUUGAGCUAUGUGAUCAUUUUGUUGUUUAAUUAAAGCUAGGUGAUCAUGAAUAGCAUCAACAUUAAUAUCUCUGCAUCUAGUAUAAAUAGUGACAUGCUCAAUGGUAGAUGUAGACGGUUUGCAAGUAUUUAAUUCAACAAUCUUAGCAUGUAAAAUAGCAUUCUCAUCUCUAAGAUGGGAAAUAGAAAAAUUGCAAUCAUUUAAAUCUUUAGCCUUAGCAAUUAAUUUUUCAUUUUCAAUUUUAAGGCUAGAGAGUGAUGCAUUCAACUUGUCAAUCUUAGUAAUCAAACUAGCAUUAUCAUAUCUAAGACUAACAAGAGAAUCAUCACAAACAUUUAAAUUCUCAACCCUAGCAAUUAGUUUAGCAUUAUCAUUUCUAAGGUUUGAGAUGACAUCAUGGCAAGUGCUUAGCUCACUAGUUAAUUUUUCACAUUUUUUCUAUCUCCUGAGCAUAAGCAUUUUUAACUUUAACAUGCUUUUUAUUUGCUUUAAUAAGAAAGUCCUCUUGGUUAUCCAAGAGUUCAUCCUUCUCAUGAAUAGCACUAAUCAAUUCAUUCAAUUUUUCUUUUUUUGCAUGUUUAAGUUGGCAAAAAGGGUGAGCAAGUUAUCCUCAUCAUCUCUAGAAUUUUCCUCAUCACUAGAAGUUGCAUACUUAGUGGAUGAUCUAGAUUUUACCUUCUUCUUCUUGUCGUCCUUUGCCAUGAGGCACUUGUGGUCGACGAUGGGGAAGAGGAGGCCCUUGUUGACGGCAAUGUUGGCGGCGUCCUCAUCGGAGGAGGAGUCGGUGGAGCUCUCGUCGGAGUCCCAUUCCCGACAAACAUGGGCAUCGCCGCCCUUCUUCUUGUAAUACUUCUUCUUCUCCUUCCUUCUUCCCUUCUUGUCGUUAUCCCUGUCACUAUCACUAGACAAAGGACAUUUAGCGAUAAAAUGACCGGGCUUACCACAUUUGUAGCAAACCUUCUUGGAGCGGGGUUUGUAGUCCUCCCCCCUCCUUUGCUUGAGGAUUUGGCGGAAGCUCUUGAUGAUGAGCGCCAUCUCCUCGUUGUUGAGCUUGGAGGCGUCGAUGGGAAGCCUACUGAUGUAGACUCUUCCUUCUUCUCCUCCGUCGCUUUGAAGGCGACGGUUGCACCUCGGAUGUAGAGGUGGCGCCUUGCUCGAUGAUUUUCUUAGAGCCUUUGAUCAUCAAUUCAAAGCUCAUAAAUUUUCCUAUUACUUCCUCGGGAGACAUUAGUUUAUAUCUUGGAUCACCACGAAUUAAUUGAACUUGAGUAUGGUUAAGAAAAAUGAGUGAUCUAAGAAUAACCCUGACCAUUUCAUGGUCAUCCCACUUUGUGCUCCCGAGGUUGCGCACUUGGUUCCCCAAGGUCUUGAGCCGGUUGUACAUCGCUUGUGGCUCUUCCCCUUGAUGAAGCAUGAAGCGACCGAGCUCCCUCUCGAUCGUUUCCCUCUUGGUGAUCUUGGUCACCUCGUCUCCUUCGUGCGCGAUUUUGAGCACGUCCCAAAUCUCUUUGGCACUCUUCAAUCCUUGCACCUUAUUAUACUCCUCUCAACUUAGAGAGGCGAGGAGUAUAGUAGUGGCUUGGGAGUUGAAGUGCCGGAUUUGGGCUACCUCGUCCGAGUCAUAGCCUUCAUCCCCCACGGAUGGUUCCUGCGCACCAAACUCAACAAUGCCCCAAAUACUAGUGUGGAGUGAGGUUAGAUGGUGCCUCAUUUUAUCACUCCACAUACAAUAAUCUUCACCGUAAAAAACCGGUGGUUUGCCUAGUGGGACGAAAAGUAAAGGGGUGCGUUUGGAAAUGCGAGGAUAGCGUAAGGGGAUCUUACUAACCUCUUGUGCUCAUGGCGCUUAGAAGUGACGGACGACGCGUCGGAGCCGGAGGUGGAUGGCGAUGAAGAGUUGGUCUCGUAGUAGACCACUUUCUUCAUUUUCUUCUUCUUGUCGCCACUCCGGUGCGACUUGACGCGGGGAGGUGAUUCCUCCUUCUUCUUGUUGGCGGACUCCCCCGAUGGAGCCUUCCCGACAUCACUUCGAGCGGUUAGGCUCUAAUGAAGUAACCGACUCAGAUACCAAUUGAAAGUCGCCUAGAGGGGGGGGGUGAAUAGGCGGAAUCUGAUAUUUACAAACUUAAACACACACACUACAAGCCGGGGUUAGCGUUAGAAUUAAAUUCGAGUCUGAAAGAGAGGGAAAACAAAUCAACAAAGAAAUAAAGCGGAUGAACACGAUGAUUUGUUUUACUGAGGUUCGAUUCUUGCAAACCUACUCCCCGUUGAGGAGGUCACAAAGACCGGGUCUCUUUCAACCUUUCCCUCUCUCAAACGGUCACUUAGACCGAGUGAGCGUUUCUCUUCAAUCAAAUGGGACACUUAGUCCACUACAAGGACCACCACAACUUGGUGUCUCUUGUUUUGAUUAUAAGUGAGUUGGAAACAAAAAUAGAGGAAGAAUAAAAGCGAUCCAAGCGCAAGAGCUCAAAAGAACACAAAAGUCUCUCUCUCUAGUCACUAAUUUGUUUGGAGUGAUUCCGAACUUGGGAGAUGAUUUGAUCUCUUUGUUUGUGUCUUGGAAUGAAGUCUAGAGCUCUUGUAUGAGGUUUGAUGGCUGAAAACUUGGAUGCAUUGAAGUGUGGUGGUUGGGGGGUAUUUAUAGCCCCAACCACCAAAAUGCCCGUUGGUGAAGGCUGCUGUCGUAUGGCGCACCGGACAGUCCGGUGCGCCACCGGACACUAUCCGGUGCGCCAGCCACAUCACCCGACCGUUAGGGUUCGACCAUUGGUGCUUCUGACAUGUGGGCCACCGGACAGUCCGGUGGAGCACCGGACAGGCACUGUUCACUGUCCGGUGCGCCAUCUGACGCCUGCUCUAACUCUGUGCGUGCAGGCGCGCACUGUAGUGUUCACUGUUCCUUUGCAGACGAUCGUUGGUGCUGUUUAGCCGUUACUCCGCUGGCACGCCGGACAGUCCGGUGCUACACCAGACAGUCCGGUGCUACACCGGACAGUCUGGUGCUACACCGGACAGUCCGGUGAAUUAUAGCGGAGUGGCUCCCAGAAUUCCCGAAGCUAGCGAGUUGGAGGGAAUCCACCCUGGUGCACCGGACACUGUCCGGCGGCAUACCGGACAGUCCGGUGCACCAGACCAGGACAUGCUUCGGAUGUCUUUUACUCUUUUUUGGACUUUUUAUUGGUUUCUUUCUUUGACUUUUUAUUGGUUUGUGUUGAACCUUUAGCACCUGUAGAACUUACAAUCUAGAGCAAACUAGUUAGUCCAAUUGUUUGUGUUGGGCAACUCAACCACCAAAAUCAUUUAGGAAAAGGUAUAAGUUUGUUUUCCUUUCAAACACUAGUACACAAAAGUUCUAUAGUGACAAUUCUAGAAGCAUAUGUAUUGACGUUUUUUGUCCCCGCCAGUGCUCGGGGCUAGUGGAAAAUAACAUUUUCACUGGCGGUUCUUUUAGUGCAACCGCUAGUCGAAAUACCAUUUCUAGUGACAUUUUUAUUAACAAACCGUCAACGGAAAUGCAGUUUCCACUAUCAGUUUUCUUUAUUUGGGCGCCAGUGGUAGUUUUCUUGGGUUUUUUUUUCAAAUUUUCAAAACAAACCUGAAUUUUAUAUAAAAAUGUAUAUAUACAUAAAUAUUAUAUAUAUCUCUACUACUACUUAUGUUAGUAUCGUAGGCGUGCACAGUUGUGGUUCUGCCGCGCCUCCACGCCCCUCCGCCUCGCCCGAAAUCUUGGAUCGCGUCAACAGCCGCGAUGCCUCGCCUGCCCCACGAAUCUCGCCUGCCCCUGUCUCCGCGAAUCUCGCCUCCCCCGCCCCCACAAAUCUCGCCGUCGCCAUUAUCUCAAGUUCUCAACCCGUCCACAGCCUCCUCCCCAACAGCAAGCGCCGCCGCCGCCUCGCCUCGGCAAACCCGGCUCCAGGGCGACAGCUCCCGCCGGCGGGACAACAUACUUCAGCGCCGUGAAGCCGUCCGUGAUCCAGCUGCGGGGUCCCACCAAGGUCAGCGUCUUCGUCGCCAACAACGACGCCGAGCAGGCCUGCCGCCUGCGACUUCAGGAUCACCGGCAGCUACCACGACAGCGCCUGUGCCGUCUCCCUCGGUGACUCCGACACUGUCAUCACCAAGGCAAGUGCGCUCUAGGCUCUCCCUCCUCCUACCCACCCGUUCUUGGACCACCGAGGACGUCGCGGCAAGCUCGCCCUCACCCGCAGCAAUCUCGCCGGCCCCCGCGGCCUGACCUCGGCAAACCCGACUCUCCAUGGAAGGUACGCGCAGUCCACUCCUCCAUGGAAGGGCACGAUCCCCGACCCGACCACCACGCAGAUCCACUCUACCCGAGCAAUGCAUCUCUCCCUUCUGUCGUCAGAGAUCUCGCCCUUCCGCGCGGUCCCAAGCUCUACAGAUGGUGGAUAGCCAGAGAUUUUGCCCUUCCAUCCCGUCCUUUCCACCAUCCUUGCCCCAAGCCAGAGAUUCGCGCCGUGGAUCCGCCACCCAGUACCGCGCUGUGGAUGGCGGACCUCCCAGUAUCGCGCCUGCGCCGUCCGCGCAUUACUAGCAGCAGCAGCCGCAGACCCAGACACCAUCACCACCAUCUCGAAUUUGACGUCUCGAGGUCGCCGUGCCAGAGAGCUUGGGGGCUAGGCGGACGAUGCAGAUGGCGGGGAGGUCUACGACAGGCUUAGGCCCUAGCGCAGAAAGUUGCUUGCGUCCAUGGCUAGCUCUCGUGGCCCUCGGUAGUCUGCCUCGCCGUCGUUGACGUCGUACCCUUCACGUUCCCGUCGAGAAGGUUCGACCUUCUCUGAUCUCCAUCCUGCCCCUAGCAAGCUCGUCACUGCCAUUCCUAGCGUGGGCGCUGGGGCUUGACUCCUGCGUCGUACUCAUCUUCCUCAACACCUCGCCUACGCCCACCAGGUGUUCGACAGAGUGUCAUCUGUCCGUCUUGCAGGCUGGUACGAGCAUCGCUGACAUAGCCUCAGUCACUUCCUUAUCUAGAUAGUUUGUUUUGUAUAAUUUUGUCAAUUAUUUAGAAUUAACUAAAUUUUGCGAUUCUGUCUUUGCAGGACAUGGACAUCGGCCACCAUGUGAAUGGCCUGCGUAAGCACCCAUCCAACGAGGUCCGGCAACUGGUGAAGCUGCUCGUUAGGUUAUGAAUCAGCUGACUGCUCCAUUGGAUCGACAGGACAUAACUGUCUUCCGAUAAUCUGAUUGUGGAUUUGUCUUUGUCUUUGGUUUUGAAGGAAAUGGAAGGAAAUAUUGGAUGAUUGGGUGAGGCUGCACAACUCAGGUGGUGAUGGUAGUGGCUCCAUCAUAUGUAUGGUGCUGUACAGAAUGUUGAACUUAUCUAAUGUGUUGUGUUUAGCUCCAAAGCUUUUGGAAUUACUUCGUGUUUGGUGAUAGUUUUGAUAUCUUUUCAUUCAUGGUGGCAGGCGAUGGUGACUCACCUGACAAAGUCCAAUCCAAGUACCAUCAAAAUACUCAUGUAACUAUUCUUCCACGCUCCAAUUUAGGCUGAUCUUCUGUUUCUUGUAUAUAGUAAUUUAGUAAUUGCAAAUAAAAUAAUUGUGCCACACCAGAUAAAAAAAACUCGACCUACCAGUGGUAAGACAGCCACAUGGUGUCGGAUAGACAAGGGGAAUUUUUUUAACCCACGACCAGUGCCAGGACCUUAGACCAGUGCUUCGGCAAUAGGACAGACGAAGGGAUUUUUUAACCCCCGCAUAAAUUUUGCUCUCACAGGGAGUCAAAUUCAGAACCUGAGGAGUGCUACUCAGAUCACCUAACCAACUCAGUUAAAUCCUUUUUUAUGAAAGAUUUGAAAGGUGUGUAGCUCAAUUUCCCUUAAUGUUGUCAUUCUACAUAAAAGCACCGCCCUCCCGUGGUUGCUGAUUCCCUGUACCAGGCACUUGGUAUUCCUCCCACGUUCUUUGCGAUAGGGACUUGGUAUUCCUCCGAGCACGGCUUCAACGACGGCAACUGCGACCAGGCACGCAGGCCGCACCGGGUGGUGGUCGAAUCGAGGGAGGCCAUGCCCCUGUCCUUCGACAACUCCACCACCGAGGAUUCAGCGGCUGCCGUGAAGCCUAAGCCCAAGGUCAGGGUCAGGAAGAACCCCAUGAAGCAGUCAUGCUUCGACUUCACCAAGGUGGACGUCGUGCUUCUCCCCAUCGUCUUCCUCCUCGUCCGCCCCAAUGUUGGCAAGUCAGCCCUCUUCAACAGGUGAGAGGCACCUUAGGAAGGCAUCGGUCAUUGCCUCUCGCCUGUAGUUUCUAUGCCGCUAUGAGGGGUGGUGGCAUUUCCUCAAAUACGUUGCAUGUAUCACUGUAACUGUUCUUCCCCUUCUGUUACCAUUAACCCAUGCAUCUAAUUACUUGUAUAUUUUAUGUUACCGUUUUCCUGUUCUCAACAUUUCAGAUUCUAGAUGAUGGUACGACAAAUUAUUUUAGGAGUGCUUUGCCAUAAUUUAAAGCUUGGAAGGGAGCUUUCUAUGAUUUAUUUUUCUGACUGUUUCGUCACAUGUUCUUUCCCUAGAUGAAAGUCUUGAUUUAUUUUUGGUUCUGCAGGAUCAUUGCGUCUCUGCGAGCUAAUCAGGUUGGGAUACUUUGUUAUGUUUGGACAGUUCUAUGAUUGGGAACUGUGUAGAAUGUGACAGCAUUUCUUAUUUUAAUGUGCAUUGCAGCUCUGUGAGCGUCUCCCUAGCCCCAAUGGCGAGUCAACUGUUGAUUGCCAUCAGAUCUCAAAGAUGCCAAAUCUUGCAUUCACCAUAGCAAAUAAGACUUUCACCUUAACACCAGAGCAGGUAACUCCCUACUUACAAUUUCUUCAGUGUUUGAAUUAGUAGUGAAACAUUGUCUAGGGAACCAUGAUCUCAUUUUCAAAGUUACAGUCCAUUUAUUGGAUAUUCUUUGGUGCAAACAUAUACUUCUUCUAUUUCUCUUGAAUCCACUGAUUGCCUUUGUGCUGCAGUACAUAGUGAAGCUGGAGCAAGCAGGACAAACUAUCUGCAUCAGUGGGUUUAUGGCAUUUGACGUACCGCCUCCUCGUGGUCCUCUCUGGUACGCUGAACAUAUAUGUACAUAAGUGGCAGUAAUCCACACUCUACACAGUCUUUGCUUUCUCUAGCAAGAAUCAAGCAUGCAAUCUGACAUCUAUCUUGUAAACAUUCAGGAUACUUGGUGAUGUUUUUAUGAGUGUCUACCACACUGUUUUUGACUUCGGCGAGAACAUGAUUGGGUUUGCCAAAUCUGCAUGAGGACUGGAGUUCUGCGCUUUAGUAGCAUGUCCAGUUUGUUAUCCCGGUAUUGUACAUAUAUAUGUUGCCAACUGGUGUAAUCCGCAGUGUUUAAUAGUAUAUAUUCAUGCAGAAAUCUAGAAGAUUGUGGCAUGAUAUGUGUUUGCAA
This 68288-nucleotide long non-coding RNA is filed under the name Zea mays. Its description in RNAcentral is "long non-coding RNA (ZMAY_LNC004629)". The record is from RNAcentral. Lineage: Eukaryota; Viridiplantae; Streptophyta; Magnoliopsida; Poales; Poaceae.